RNAcentral lists this long non-coding RNA (81726 nucleotides) under Ananas comosus (pineapple). Its description in RNAcentral is "long non-coding RNA (ACOM_LNC022990)". The record is from RNAcentral. Lineage: Eukaryota; Viridiplantae; Streptophyta; Magnoliopsida; Poales; Bromeliaceae.
AUGAAACAAGUUGUAAAUGAGUUUAAUGAGCCAGGAUAACACGCCGUCUGCACAACUAUUUGAAAGUGGCAUGACUGCUCUACAUAAAAUAAAAUUACUUAUUUAUUUUUGGCACGAAUAGUUUUAGAUCUUUUCUUACAAAGUGGGACUUCUUUAAUGUGUUGUGCUCCUUCUUUUCCCAACACGUGAUUUUGUCGCUGUAGUGUCUCAGUUUAAUGAUGAUGUUUCUUUCUGUACGUCUGUACAUGACUAACUAUCCGUUCAUGUAAUUGUCGGCUUUGUGUUUUAUAAUCCUUUUUUGUUUGGUUUUAUACUGGUUAAGUAGUUUUGUUGCUUUCGUUGGGUUUGAUCAAUUGCAUUGUUUCAUCAUGAUAUUAUGAAUUAUUGUGGUUCUAGAAGUCGGUAAAGUUUUAUACGAAAAGUGUAGAAGUUGGGACUUUAUGUCGUCUUUAUUUUUUUUUUUUUUUUUCCUUUUCUUUUCUUUUCUUUUUCUCUUUUGGCUAAUCAAUUGAUUAUUCUUGGAUAUCAUAUUCCUCAUUUUCGGAUAUUAUCCAGAAUCGUUUAAACUUUAGUCAUUUUAUUAAAGUAUUUUAAACUUAUAAAACUAAAGCGACGUUCUCUCUCUAUCUACGUGUCUUUUGUUUCGUCAAUGGAACGACCGCUACAACAACCUCUCGGUCAGUUCGGGGAGUAUGUUGGGGAGUGGUCUACAUCGUGUGCACGAGACUUACAUGGACGUUAGUGGGGGUGUUUUGUUUAAGUAUUACUCCUAAGUUUGUUAUUAUUUUCGAAAAGAAAUUUUUUUACUCCCCCGGUCUAAAGUUGUUGACUUUCUCUAAUGACACCAUUAACAAUAGACAACUAUCUAAACCUGGUACUAAACUUAAAUAUAGUGAAUUCUUAAACUUCUUCAGAACUACUUCCCCGUCGUUAGAGUAGUAACGGUUUAUAUAUAACGUAAUAAAAGCAAUUUAUACCUGGGAACAUUUUAAUGGAAUUAAAAGUAUAUACGGGAAUUUUAAGAAAUAAAGAAUACACGAAUUAAGGACGUUUUUACUGGAGAAUUCUGUGAGAAACAUUAUACUUUGGUUGAAGUGGGUACUUCGCCUACUGUGGGGUUCCCCUUGUAUACUCUUUUAGGUAUGUAAUACCCCAAUUUAUACAAAUAUCUACUAGACACCCCCGUAUGUACAUUUUCGGGAAUUUUAAAUUCCUAAGAAGAAGAUACCUGCAUGUGUAGUCUUGUUUGUUUUAAUGUUAUUUUUUUUUUUUUUAAUAUGUCGAACUAAUUCUUGCUCACCAUAUACUACGUAUCUAAUGUCGUAUGGUCACGGAGACUGCAUCCCUCACUUCCGGUUCGAAUAGCCACUAGAGUCGUCGUAAGUAUCGUAAUCCCUCUAGAACGAACAAGCGUUUCUGCUCGUUGUGCCGUAGCGCGUUGAGUAGGACAGCGGUAAUGUUUCUUCUAGUAUUCUAAAAAAAUUUUUUUUUCUUUAUAUUGAUCAAUCAUGAUGAAAACACCUUAAAUAUAAAGAAAAAUGUUCUGUCUUCUUUCAUAAGAAAGGUAAUAUGUAAAAACAUUCAUAGCUUUCAAGCAUUAUAUAAGGAUACGUUAUAUUUUGUUCCCCGUAACAUUAUAUACUCCUUAUCAGUUUCAAACAGUUCCCUCUCCUACUCAGCUGGAGUAACUCGUAGGACACCUCGAGUAGAGAUCGGAGCUGUUAUGCUAGGGACAGUAACGACAGCUGCUGCUUCUAUUCCGGGACGCACAAGACCUUCAUUACGGAGGUGUUACCCGCCUAGACAAAAAUUUCUUGUAUUUUAUAUUUGGUUUUAGUAGUGGAACAAUUGUUUUCCCUUAUUAUUAUUAUUUUAGGGUUGUUAGUUUUACCAUAUAGUCCUAAUUUUUUACAACGAGAGGUUUUGAUUAUCUAUUGAAUCUUUGGUUUUAAAAAAUGACGUCUUAGAAGUUGUCACGGAUUAUCUGUUUUCCUUUCGUGUUCAUCCUGGUUUUAAACCAGUCUUGUAAGUUGGUUGAGGUCGUCAUGUAGUUUAGGAAUUGAUAUUUCGUCACCAUGUUUUCUUUCUCGUAUGGAACAGGACCGGUGGUUGUAGGGUAUGCCACUUCGAUUACAAGAAUAUGAGGUGUCAAAGGUGUAACUUAGGACGUAUAAAUUCGGGUUUUUUUAAUGUUAUGUUUGGCUGUCUUCUUUAGACUUUGUUUCACGUUAUAACUAUGUAUUCUUUAUAUACCGUCUCUUUUUGUCCAUUUAUUCAGAACUAGUACAGUGUCCCUAUUUUAUUUUUGUUGUUGUUUGUCACUUAGUAAAGAUAUUUAAACUUUCAGUGUGGUUCCGAUUUAGUUAGAUUUAGAUGUCGUCAAUGGUUAAAGCGACAUAGGCGGAAAGGGAAGAGAAAUUCUGGGUCUAGGUAAACAUUAAAGUAGGUGGUGAAAGUAAAUAAAGGAAAAAGUCUUGACAAAAUAAACAGUAGAUUUCUGAGGAUGUGACUUUUCGUACACGCUGAUUAAAGAAAAAAUAAAAAACCGUCGGUAGAUAAAAGAUAGUCGAGUGUACCGUAGACAUCGUCUAUUUUGAACCAAUAAUAUUCUUUAUGUUAUGUUAGAUUCAAAUUAACAUUAAAAAAAAUGACGUUUACUCAACAUUCGUAAUUUAUAUCGUUAUUACUCUUGAAGGAUUAUUGAAUUAAAGAGUGUAAUAAAAAGAGUAUUCGUUGUGUUCCCAUUCUUCGAAAAGGGUUUUUUAGUCUAAUUAUCGUAAAGGAGCACCUGGAGGAUUUUAUUAAGUUAUCUAGGUGUGCUUGUUUUCUUUCUCGAUAGGAUUAAAGCGACGUUUUCCUGUACUUUUUCGGAUACUUCCCCUUUAUGUCAACAACGGAGGGUAGUCGUAUUUCUUAAUGUCAACAACUGUAACUGCCAGCGAUACCGUUUGGAAAAAAUUUUGUAUGGGGAUUGUUUCGUACUAAGAUGAAAGGAUCGUUACAGGCGUGUAUUGGUAUAUUAUGUCGUAUUGUACUAACGUUCGUAAUCUUGAACUAAGUAUCGUAACCUUGAACUUAGUUAAUUAUCGAGAGAUGUUUAAGGUAACGAAGGAGAGACAAGAGAACGAUAUAACUGCUACUUUGUUUACCGUUAAGCUACAAUGGUUCAUUUAUACAACGUCUAGUUUAGUUACAUCAUCGUCCGAAGUAGUAACGUAUUCCUUUUUUGAUUUUCCUAGUUUCCGAGUGGCUAGCACCCUUACCACCACUGCUAGAGAGGCUCGAACUCGAACAUCUCCUACCAGCAGAAUGGUCGGCGUAGUUCGGGUUGGUAGUUAUAGGAGUAGAGGAAGAAGCGUUUCUCCGCCGAUUUCUCGAAGCACUUCCACUCGGGGUAGAAAGGAGAGGACAUUGUUGUGUGGUGUUGUUAAGUUGAAUCUAGAGAUGUCUAGGGUCGUCUAGGUUUGGGAUUACGUUGUUUGAUUGCGGUUUUUGUAUAGUUUGGGGGGUUUAGAUGUUCUAGAUUGUCCUUACCCUUCGGCUUUGGUUCUAAAUGUUGUAGUUUAAGUUUAUGACGUAAGCUAGUUUAUCUUUUCGAUAAUUAGCUAUUUUAGCUAGUUGUUAUCAUUAAUUUUAGUUGGGUAGAUUGUCGAUUCUGCCUUAUUGUCCUGAUUUUCUGGUGUUUUGGAUAUUUUUUUGGCUCUAGCUAGCUUCUGGGUACCUUAUUAUUUCCUCUUACUAGCCUUAGCUUCUAGGUUAGUUUUAUUUGUAUCUUUACCUUCUUUUUGGCUAGUUAGGUAGUCAAUGUUGCUAAAUUUUCCACUUAGCCUCUAGGCUUUGGGAUUCUUGUUGCUCUAGCUAGCGUCUAGGUUCUCUCUUAUCUCCUUUUCCUAGCAUUAGCUCCUAGCCUAGCCUUUUGUCUCCAGCUAACCUAAUGGGCCUGCUAGAGAGCGAGAGCAGCGCGCGAACCCUAGCCUCAGAGGCGAAGAAGAAGGAGCGAAGGAGGAGGGAGAGAGAGAGAGAGAGAGAGAGAGAGAGAGAAGCGCUCUUUUCCUUCCUAGCCUCUCUCUCUUGUCUCCUUUUGCUUGCCACCCACCGAAUCCGACUAAGCGGUGAGGCAAAAAUAUCACCCACACCACGCCUUUCCUCUUUUAAGGGGCAUCUUGACCAGAUAUCUGGUAAUUGAAACAUCCAGCUCUUUUCUCGGGGUUUACUGAUUUAUCAGGGACAUGACUGGGCUAAAAAACCGGAUCAGGGACUUGUAAAAAUAAAUUUGUAAAAUGAAAGAAGAAAAAAAAAAUGUUUUUUCGAAGAUGAAUAAAUGAGGAGUGAUGAUUAAUUUUAAAAAUUUAAAUAAGACUUUAAUAUUUUAUAAAAAGGACUUUAGGUUAGAUAAAUCAUUUAAGAUCUUUUUACUUCUAUAAAAUUCUUUUUAGAAUUUUGGUUGUUCUUAUAAACCUAGGAGUUGUUUUUAUAAAACUAGGUCAUUAUUUAUUUUAUAAAAAUUUUAUGACUUAUCGUAUAAUCUAUAAUAGGGAAUUUUGUUAUAUUAAUACUCACGAUCUUUUUUAUUUUAUUAAAAAUCUGUAUAUUUUAGUUAUAACUUUGUAAUAAGAUCUAUAAUUAUAAAAAAAUUUUAAAUAAAAUACAAUCUUCAAAAUUAAGAUAAGAUGUGCUUUCAAAAUUUUCUAAUAUAGUUUUAAUUUUGAGAGCAAUACAAGACCUUCUGUUAUUUUUUCAUAUCUCUUAAUUUCCUAAUUUUAUUUUUCAAGUCCUGAUGCAACAUUAUAACCUUAAAAUGUCACUGAUAAUUAAUCUAAAACGAAAUCUUAACGAGUUAUUAUUUUGUCGCCACCCCCUAAACAACGCGGAUAUUAAACCAACCCGAGUCCCUAAUGCACCACUUUGCCCACAUCCCUAUACAUAAUAAUCCGCCUUAUACUUACGCUACGAAGCGCAGUUGGAAUGCGUGUACUCUUCGCAACAUCGCGCUGGCUUGGCCUGGCCUUAGUCGUAUACGACAUAUUCAACCUGGCCCGGCCUAAACCUGGCCGUGUCACAUUAUUUAAAUUUUUAAGUUUUACUCUAUGCUCUCUAAGGUUCUCAAUUUUUAAGUUUCGUCUCGAAGAAGUUAAAUAACAUAAACUUUAUCCUAAUGUUAUUGUGUUUUCUUUUAUAUCUAAAAGAAACCACCGGCAUUCAUUUUAAAGUUAGGUGAAUUUUGAAGUCUCGAUUUUAUAUAUAUUUUAUAAUCUCUGAUUUAACGUUAUAGUCUUAUGAACCCGGUGAUAGGCAAAUAAAAUGAUAUACUUAUCGUUUAAAACCCCCCUCUUUUUCUUAAAUCCGAAACAAACCUAAACGCCCCUCUAACGCAAUGCAUGCCACCCUUUCAUGCAACCUUUUUAUAAGACAAACAAAGACAUGCAUUAUAACGUAAGGCGUAUAACGCUAAUCAGCCAAUGCGAUAUAAAAGACGCCAGGGUGGCCUCUUGCGCUUUCGUAUAGGGAUAUACGAAAAAAGUGUUGAGGUAAAAUAGAUUAUCGCAAUAUAUCCGGAGUUAUGGUUUGAUUCGGAAUAUUUAGCAUUCGUUCCAAGCAAUGUUACCUCCACCAUUCAGUAAAAGUUUUUUAUGAAGAGUGAAUAUCACUUUUUUAGUCUUUACAAUUGAAAUACAAUAUUAAGUUCUCGUACUCUUAACUUAAAAUAUAAUAGAACAACUUUUGUGGGACGUUACGUGAGAAAUUGAAAUUAAAAAAAAGGGAACAGUUUUCUUUUUUUAAAAAAGAUAUUAGGCGAUGACUGUACAUUUUGAUGACUUGAUCGUUACCUAAUCUGUCUCUUGUGUUUUGUACUAAACCCACCUUUUAUAAUAUGUUUUUUACAAGUGGUUUAGUUGUUACACUAAAUGUACUAACGCCUAGAGUAGCGUUUAGCGAUCAUUCUAGCGUUACAAAAAGAGUCUCGAACUGUGCUAGCUCGAUUCGAUUGAAUUUAAGAACAGUAAAUAUCAUCUAGUUUUGAGUUAGACCGAGUAAAUUAAGCACAGUUUAAAUGUAAUGGGUAUUUCUUGAAUAAUCCAUAGGUGGGUGUCAUAUAUGAAUUGAUUUAACUUAACACAUCAAGACUCAUAUUUGUAAUUAUAGUGUAGAACUCUAAUAAAAGAGUUGUACCGACUGCCAUUUAAAAUUAUAAGAUAUCAGAAAUCCAAUUCUCUCAAAUGUGCACAAAUCAACACGGAAUUUAAUUUUCUCGUGCUCGAGUUCGGGUUAGAGUUUAGGUUGGGUCCAAGUUCAAUAAAAUGGGACUUAGGGUAACACAGUUCACAGGAAAAAUUCACGUGCCACGUUAAAGCAGGAUAGUAUAUAAAGUUAAUAAAAGUUAGCACGACCAUGUAAACGCCAUAGAUACUCGUUAUAGUUCGAGAUUAAAACAUGUAGGUAAAUUUAAAUCUCGGUUACAAGGUAAGGUUAAUACCAUGGAAAAAAAAAGUUAAUUUAGUUUAUAAAGCUGAUUUUACACAUCCUUAAAAACUUAAUUUUUUUAAGUUUAGAAUCUCACGUUCCUCCGUUAAAUAAUCAAACUCAAAGCUUUAAAGGUUGGGGAUCUAAAAAAAAAAAAAAAGUUUUUCACCAUGUCGAGAGCUUUACUUGUAUUACUUGUCUAAAAAAACAAAAACAUAUGUUUUCUACUGGUAAUAUUUUUAAAAAUUUUAAAACUUUAAGCUUAUUUAUCGUUUAUUAUUCCUCUCCCUACUCCGUAGAGAGAGAGAGAGAGAGAGAGAGUACAUAGAAUCGAUAAAAGAACCUCAUUAGGAUAUAGAGAUGUUAUUUUAGAGAUAACAAAAGGGUUUUUUUUUUUUUUUUUUUUGUUAGAGCGGGGAGGAUAUGACAUAAUGACAUCAGAUAUUUAGUGUAGUGUUUAGAGAGAGAUUUUUUUUUUUUUAUGUUAAAGACGUUUUUAAUUUUUUUUUUAGGGGAUCGAAAAGUGACGAUGAUAAAAAUGAGCGGGGAAAAGAGGAGGUAUAGUGGGGCUGAGGCAAGAGAGAAAGAGCGAGAGAGAGGGAGAGAGAGGUAAAGCAAGAGGUAAAGCGCCUCGAGGAAGCUCCCUCUCCUCCCCCUACUCCGUCUAGGGAAUCAGAGAGACUAGGGGCAGCUAAAUAGCGAAGGGUGUCUCAAGCUAGCGCGGGGGUUAGCCAAACUAAGCUCCACUAAACGAAUUUUAAAGGCUAAAAAUCCAAAUAUCUACCUCAAGCCUUUAUUUUUUCGAUUUAAAAGUGAUGAACAUCAACGAUUAAAACACGCGAAAGAGUCUAAGGACCAAAUUUACACGUGUCCGCCUCUCAUAAAUCCUAGAUAUGUACCAAAGAUAACUCAAAAUCCCAAAAAAAAUUUUUUUAUAUUAAAAACCGAAAUUCAACCAAAUCUGAAAAAGAUCUCAACGACGGUAUAUUUCUCUGGGGUAAAUACACGAACAACAAUUCAACAUAACUAAAAGAAUGAUAUAAAAACCGAUAUCUCAACUAAAUCUCAAAUCGUCCUCAACAAAAAUACCUCCUUUUUGUUUUCUUAAAAAUGAUUUCGUCAACGAUUAAAACCUGAAAAUACGACUAAGUACCCAAAUAAACACAACACAAACUCUCUCUAAAUUUUAGAUAGGUAGCAAAGGUAACUCAAAAACAAAGGAAAGGUUAAAAAACGAAAUUUCAACUAAAUAUGAACGGAACCUCAAUAACGAUAUAUUACUUUGAAGUAAAUUCUUGAGUAAAAAUUCAAAAGAAACAAUGAAGAAUAACUAAGGAAUCACUAAAAAUACUUACACCCUCAAAACCUUCCUAAAAAAAAUGGGGGGUUGUCGUCAAUGAUGAAAACCUAAGAAUGAGAUAAACGAUCCAAAAUUUACGUAACCCAGGUUGUCCUAAAUUCUAGAUAGGUAAAAAGCGAAACCCAAACUUAACAUAAUUUCUAAAGCAGUACUUGAACCUAAACAAUAAUAUUAAAAAAAACCGUCUUUUACUAUUGAAAAACACACAAAGUAAGAAACAGGUAUAUAUUCGUUCCUGACGGAAAAAUAAAAACAGCCUUAAAACGUAAUUAACUCGGCGACAUCACCGCUUUCGAGUCUUUUAAGAAUAGAAAUCUCUCUUGAUUAUCCUCUAUAAGUAUUUUUAAACUAACUCUAAUUUAUACUUUCCUAACCUAACCUAUCUACCGAGGUCUUUAUUUCUCUAUUUUAAGUGACACUAGUACUAUCUAUUAAUUACUUGGUAGGUGUAUCUCUUUCCAGUCUAUUUGAAUAGAAAUGACAGGAAAAAAAAAUUUUUUUAAACAUAUAUUAGAAUAUUAUCCCACCACGCCUCUAAAAUGCUAGUUUAUAUGAAUUCUGCCAAGUGUAUUACAAAUCCUAUACAUGUUUAACCACUUAUAUAAUAGUACUAUUAUAAAAGUAAAUUUUUUAAAACGAGUCAAAGAUUACUAACUCCCAUCGAAGUACCAAAACCAGUCUUCAGCAUAGUAAUAUAUAUUAUCUAAAUCUACGAGACACACUGACACACAAUAGAAUGGAUAGGAACAUUAGUCCGAACCUGUUUACUGAUUACGUUUUUUCCCUUGACUUUGAUGUUAGUACGGUUUCCUAGCCUAACUAAGAGGUAGGAAACUACUUCCAUCGUCAUCGCCGCCUAGUCGAUUACCUCCUCGGGGACAAAAUUUCUUCCCUGGAACCUGAAGACGACUUCUACGGUAAGAGUAGCUGAUGCAAUUCUUCGUGCCCCUCCCCUUGACCUUACGACAAGUUUUCUUAAGCCCGGACAGCGCGACGCCAUUCUCGACGGCAGAGGCUACCCGAUUAGUAGACUCCGGUUUGAACUUCUCUCCACGGUAGUGAGUUCUCCUCCUCCUAUUCUAGUAAGUUGACGUGCGAUACAAUCCCUUGUUUACCCGAUUUUACCGACGAGCACAUUCAUUUAUAAAACAGGAAACAUGACGUUGGAAUAAAUCGUAUCACUACGGAUUACUGUCACGUAAAACGUUAUCCAGGUGUUUGAAAUUUUUACAAAAUAAUGGAUUGGAAAGUGAUACAAACUAAAUUGAUGGAGAGUUAGUUUUGAACUACCAUAAACCCUUGGAAAGAUUACUUUAUAAGACAAUAUAGUACCUUACAAGACAAUGAAGUACCCUAUAAGACAUUGAAGGAGAAGGAGAAGAAGAAGAAGCAACCAAAAUUUGCUGUUCGUAGUUCAAGAUCGUCUUGUAUUAUACUCAAAGACAAGAGUUUUCAUAGCUUUGUCAUCCAACGUUCUAACUUUAUAAAAUGAGUUAUUUUACGUUAUAUCAACUCCACUCAAGAUACGUAAAAUGGAAGAAAUAGGAACCAAAACAAAAUCGGAUACGAAAAACCAACGUCGUGUAUACAGGCAUUAAAACAGUAUUCAGAAUCAUUAUAUUUGACUUGUUCAGAGUGAAAUCGAAGAUGGGAAGAAUUAUAUAACUAAGGAGGAGGAGCCUUAGACAUGAACCAGUACUUAAGUAAGACUGCGUAUAUUUCGACACAAAUCAUGUUUUUUUAGGAGUAACAUAUUAUUUAAGGUUCAGGAGGAAACGGACGCUGAGAUAAAAUAUUUUUCCGUAUAAUACGUAUGUCAAUCGAACGUAUGAGGGCGACAAACUAUUACGAGAACUACCAAUUCAAGACAACAUAGAUAGCUACUUCAAACCUAUGAGGUAGACAUUUCUUACUUCAUGUAAAGUAUAUUUCACUGUCUAUUUAAACGUUUUCUUAUCAAUAUAUAAACUACAGAGUUAUAAAAACCCAUACACCUCUUAUAGUUAUCUGUGUUCUUGAUAUAAAGAAGUUGUACCCCAAAAUUGACUAACCUAUAGACCGUGAGCAAACCGAAGAAUUUUCGAGAUCUGUAGAGGCAAUGAACAUAUAGAAUCAAUUUCUCUUCACUGAAGAACGAAAGAGUAUACAGAGCUAGAACAUACUUCUAGAUAUGAAGAAAAGGAAGUUUGUCAACAAAAGACGUUAAAGUAAGAUACACGAAAAAAAAGUCCAAUAUCACUGUCUCCUACUCAUUUAGCGGGAUUCCGAGGAAUUGGAGAUUAGUAUCGAAAUCAAAACAGGAAGCGGAAUUUUAAAUACCUAAACUCAGGGAUCGGAAGCGAUAAACAUCGUUAAGGUAAAUAAAGGAGGUUCAACCUAUAUAGGUGUGUUAGUGGUGUAUUGAGGGCACAUUCACCGAAAACUGAAGAGUAUACCACUAAUACACCAUAAGAUAGGUCAUAUUCCUUUUUUUACCCUUGUAUUGUCUUACGAUUUCUCAUGUUUGUUUACCUUUACAACCCCUUAGUUGACUUUAUAAAAUCUCCAACCCCCGGACGCUACGUUAUAUACACUUUCUCCUGAUAAAAUAUGUUGGGACUAUUAAAGAAAAACUCUAAACAAAUUUAAAAGGUCUUAAUUUGAGUUUAUACGAAAAAAAGAAGUCAAUGGUCCCGCCUGUCUAUUGCUCUAUUUCUUGAUAACCUUGUGGGCCUAUUUCUUCGCAAACGCUUACCCCAAUGGUUAAAUGGGUCUUUUAUAGUGACAAGUUCAUGUUUUGCUUUUAGUCGUUAGAGUGCAGCGAUCGUCGAAAUCGUCGUCAAAGGGACUUUCCGGUUUGAUAUAAAAGGUGCCUUUGUUACAACUGAACGGAAUAUAGUAGAAGCUGUUAAAUUUACGGUUGGGUCCUCGGAAUAGGAUGGAUGGCGGUGGUUUGAGAUUAAAAAGAGAGAGAUCGUACGCAUAAGUCUCAAACCCCCACGUUUUAGCAACGAAGUGCUUAAGUUACUUGGUGUGUUCUGUCGAAUUACUUUGCUAGAGAGAAGGGUGACCCGAAGGACAACAACUCGUUGAGAGGUCAAUAAGAAUACUAGGACUGGGACCGUCAUUCUUGGGUCUUCGCGGAGAUCACUCACGAAAACCACCACCGGUAAGGGAAAACUUACCGAAGAGGAGACGAAGAUUCGGGGAAGUUCCCCGGCACUUCAACCUCGAGGGAAGUGAGGUUAUAAGACUCUGACUAAAAUGGUGCCUACUAGGAACCAAUCUAUUUCGUCAACUAUGAAUAGACGUUAGAGGACGAUGUUAAGUAAGCCACGUUUUGUUGUGAAAACGGAGAUACGUUUUAUGGCCAGAAAAUCUUAGGGAAUAAUUGUAUAGUGGUUGACAUUUGUCGAACCUUUUAGCCGGUACGGGUUUAUCAAGACCAAGAAGUCAAAACUGUUGGUUACUGAACCGUCUUCGAGGACUCUAAUUACAGAUGUUGGUUGCGAACCAUCCAAUAUUACUUUAUCGAAGAGGCACCUCAUUUAAAGGAUGAAAAAAUUUACUCACGUGCGGAGGAGAAACGUCGUCGGGCGAACUACUCGAAGGUGGGGGGUUGAGCGGAAAACCAUUCGUAGACAUGACGAAAUAUAUUAUUAGAGCGAAACACACAGACCGGGAUCGAAUACAACUUCGAAGAGACAAGGUUCUUCACCCUGUCAGAUCGUAGUCAGUUUACCUUCAAACCUGAAGAACAACACCAUUCUUCGACUUUACUUGAAAACUUGGGGUUUCUCGUAUUUGAGAAUUGAACUUCAAAGACGAAAACAACAGCACCCUUCAACAACGCUAAUCACAAAAAAGUUUCUCAAAACAUCUUAAUAAGAUAGAUCCGGUCUUUCAAAGACCGAAGAGGUUUUCGUCCUUCAAGAUGAAGCAUAGAAGACGACGAUCGACGUCGUGUUCCGACAAACUGUCCCAAAAAGUUACAUUUCGUUAAUCAGGAAGUCUGUCGAGAUGGAUCGUUCGUAAAGAGGACUUCGAGAAAUAAAAUCUACGCAUUGAACUUUAAGUGUAAUGAUUUUGAAGGUGUCCUAGCUUAUAAUAGAAACGAAGACCACUCGUUUAAGGUCCGGGUGCCAGUUCGCUUGUUCUUUGGGAUAGAGCGGGCCUAAAGAAUUCCGGUCUGCUUAACGAACUAAGAUUGACCAAAGUACCUUCAAGACUUUAACGUUUUCUUCUAAUACUACAGUUGCUCCAUUAUUGCCGUGAAAAUCGACUUCUGAAAACGUUGUCCGGACAAAGAUAGCUAAGUUGAAUAUAUAAGUCAUUACCCGAGCCGGAGUUACGGAAGGGCACCUUCUUGUACGGAGUCCGAACAGUUUACAAGCUUUUAGGAACUCUAGAAAAUAGCUUCCCGAUUUAACGUCCUCUGGGGAAUAUUUAUAACACUAAAAGUGUAAUGGGACGACUUUAAAUCUUUGUUGUAGAAUAGGAUAACCGUGAGUACUGCCUCCCCUGCCCCCCUUCUACUACUAUAGAACCUCAUACGUCCUAAGUUAUAAAAUCGGCCUUAAUUGCCUUUGACGCUACAAAUAACCCCUAAAGGAAGUUAAAUCGGACAUGCACUUGAAUCUAAAUAAAGCCGAAACCCACUAAUUAUCAUGAAACGAUCACAUCGGUAACGAAUACAAAGAACAAACAUUGUCAUUUUAUAAUCUACAAUAUACGAACGAAAUUCGUAAGCUGCCCAAUUAAUCCCGAUCAUUAAAUGACACUUAACAACAACUUAUUAUACUCCCUCUAAUUGCUACAAUGGGCACUAUGAAGUUAAAGUGUAUACCUCCUCAAUAAACAAAAAGGACAAUUUAUCAAAUGACGACGUACCGAAUAAAACAAAGUCGUAAGUCUCAUAAGACAUCGAAAACAACGUAAGUCCCAUAAGACAUCGAAAAUAAAGUUCACUUAUAGUAAGCCUCGUACGAUAGGCAUGUGAAAAUCUAAUGCACAAGUAGAGUGUAAGAUAAGUAGGUUUCUAAGAAUAAAAAGUGAACAAAAUAGUUGAAUAAAACAUUUGAGAUCCUACGCACCCCACAUUUUAAAUAUGGAUACGUAUUCUCAGGUCUAUCCAUCGUAAAAGGAUAGUAAAUAACAAUAAAAAAAAUAAGGUGAAAUAAUAACUAAGAUACCAAAUAAACUAAACUUAAACGUAUUGCAAAAAUAUAAUAACGUAUCAUUUAUUCAACAACCAGAGAGAGAGAGAGAGAAUUCAACGUUAUCACCUCACGGAGAGGUAGUUAGUCUUAUAUAUAUAUAUAGAAGACGAAAGCGUCAACGUGAUUAUUAGUAGGUCUAGUACAGGGUACGAUAACGUUAGAGACACUUAGUAUAGUUUCGAGGAAAACGGUUGGAAACAAAGAGGACGAUGGAGUAAAGUGGCAACGGCAGCUUAACACUUUGGACGUGUCUUUUGUCGAACCGACCUAGCAGCACCACGUCAAACUACCUUUUCUCGGGAACUGCCUGUAGUGACGCUCUUCGCGACACUUCGACCAGUCGUGACGUCAGGAAACUACAUUAGGCAGUUAUGUUGACAUUAGACCACUAGCUAUAGCUACGUCCGUCGUACCUUCUCUUCUCUAUCAACCAGAAUGUCAAGGUCAAACGUCACGCGUCGUAGCUAAGCUGUUCGCUUUCCCCUGUUAAACACGAGUUUCGAAUGUUAGAAACGGCAGCGUAAGAUCAAGGUUCCAAAGAAAACUCAAAAACCAAAGAAACUAAUCACCUUAAGUACAAAGAAGGGAAGAGAUAUAAUAAUAAUAAUAAUAAUAAUAAUAAAAGCGAACAAACAACCUUCUACAUUAGGUUUGAAAGAGAUUCUAAACUACUCUCUGUACCAAAUAGAGGUUUCUCCAGUCUAUUUCUAUACUAUCAAAUUACGGUAGUUCCACUUUCUGUACUAUCAGGUUACUUGUGUUAUUUCGGAAUAGUGACAUGCACUUUCUUAAGAAAAAUCGAUGCAAGUCAUGUUUAUAUAUUAUCUUUCAACUAGUUUCGUUAUCUGUAAAGGCGACAUUCGUCUUUGUGUAACUACUUUAAACUGUACAAAGAAAAAUCAUCCUUUGUAGUUUUAUUUCUUUUUUUCUUCAGGUUUAUUUGUUUAGAUUGGUGUCAACUUCGUAGAUCAAACUUGAUGGUAGUGAGCUGAGUCGGAGGUAUCUUCUGUUCGAACUUUCUGCGUCGCCGGCUGAUCGACGCGCCCCUCCGUUCUGCCCGUGCUAGCCUUCCGCCUUUAGAAGCGCUUAUAGGAAGUUCAGUCACGGUUCUUGUAGCGCGAGAGACUAAACUCUAUGGAGGGAGCUAGAGCUGAGCAAGAGGAGGUGCGUUCGGUUUGAGCCGCGCUGGGUUUAGUGAGGAAAACAUCUACUUAGGUGGACGCCUCCACUCACUGACCUCGGUGGAAAUAGACAUUUUGUUCUCAUUAACGUACAAGCCGGAUUGAAAACUUUGUUGAAAUGAUAAGGCUUUUUCGUUGUACUUAUCGUUAAGAUCUAAUUUCAAAAACGGUAAACGAUUUGACAAGUUCCUCUCCUAUAUCAGAUAAUCGUAAAGAUCAUAUAAAAGUUUGUCAAAAUGAGUUAUCGUGAAUACGUUUUUGACAAGUUCGAUUUUCAGGUAAGGAUAGCUCUUUUUACCAUUUAUUACCGUAUUAGUGUGAUACUAGGAUGACAGGUUCAUAAGUGUUAUUAAAGUGCAUGAAAACCAACCAGACUGUGACCCUGUUCUUCCUUUCUUCUUGUCCUCUUUUGUUACUAUUCUAUUAACAGUUAACCGUCUACUAUUUAAUGAUAAAAAGCUUUAAGGCACUGAGACUUUAUUGUUUCUAUUCUAUUAAUGUACUUUUGAGAAAUAAAAAUAUAUGAAAUCAAGCUACAUAUGUAUAUUAAUUGGUUUAAUGAGGGUUUAAGAAAGACUUGACUUAAAACUUAAAAUUUCGGACGUAUCUCGUUUCGAACACUAACACUAUUCUCUUCAUUUAGUGAGGAGUGGACGUAUCUCGUUUCGAAGAAGUUCACGACUUCGUAAACUGUCGCUGGAACGGCUGCCCGAUCUUAGUAUUUGUCCCAGACGCUGAACUGAGAGUAGCCGUACGCGGCGAAGCAAUGGACUUUAUAGCUCAUUUCUUAGCUAUUCGUUGCUAAUAAUAUUAGGUGGUAUUUACCAAUUGAUAGGUUGGUAAUGAAAAAUUUCUAAUAAUAGUGGACCAACAAACUCUAAUAAUAGAAGUCAGUGAUGGCGGAAGAGCAGUAGGCUUUAACUGCUUUAACUGCGGCUAAGAAGUCAAUAAAGGAGGAGGUAUCGAAAGCUUAAUAGAGGCGGCGAAGGACGACUGAACUAGAGUCGGAAAUAGACAAGCAGCACGUAACUGAGCGGUAGCAGCCUGCUAAGCGAGAGAUGAAAUCCUCGAAGUAACAGCACCGAGCAUCGCUCAAGUGAGACAACCGAUAAGUGAAGUAGGAGUUGUUAGAGGAACAGCGUAAGAACUAGUAAAGGGCUGCUUUGGCACAGCCUCAUGAGAACCGGAAGCGAGUCGAACCUAAGCGAGAAGAGCGACUUAAGAGAGAGAUUUAGUCGCUUUAACCAGAGGAGCCACAAGAGAAAGAGCCGUUGCUUUAUUCCAGACUUAGAGCUUCCGGAAUUCAGAACAAAGUUCAGGGGCUCUUUACUGAGCGGAUAACACUUCGAGAGUACGGAAGAUAUAUUGUUUAGGGAGCCGCCUUCACCUUGUUUUGGGACUACCCAUCUUAACAAUAACAAUGACAACAACAACAAUAAUAAUAAUAGUAGUAGAAAGGGACGUCCCAAUAAUGAGAGUAGACGAACAAGUAUUCCUUCUAGUUUUCCUAAAGACGAACCAUUCUCCUGGCUUCCUCGGCUUGGGCCUUAACACAGUAGACUUAGCUUUCCUUCUAGUUUUCCCAAAGAAGAGCCUCGCUUUUGGACUCCUUAAACCUGAACUUUAAAACUAUUAAGGAGAUACCAUCCGUUUCUAAGUAAUGGUAGGUUUAGUUAGUUUAAGAAAAGGUAAAGGCUAGAGUGCUUGAAGGAACGGGAGGAGGACCGUUAAUUUAAAAGGUUAGAGACUAAGGAGAGCUAGAGUCUUCUGGGCUGCGAGUACUCUAAGAAAACUAGUAGGCGGCAGGUAAGGUGCUGAAAUCGUACUAGUAGUAGGAAGAGAAGAACACGAGGAAGGAGAAGAAGAAGCAGGAGCAGAAGGAGUAGUAGCAGAAGAACUAAAAGUCAAAGAAGGAGCUACGAUAAUGGCAGAAGGCUAAGCGCUAGUACUCUGCUAACACAACUGCGGCGUAGUCUCGGCAGGAAGCUACGACGACUGCCGACUCCUCGGAGUCUUAGGUUGUCUCCCACCUCGAGCAGUUCGUAGCCCUACUAGAGUCUCCGCAGCCUACUCCUAUAGAGGCUGACUAGUCCGAGUGUUAGUCUUCGUCGAAGCGCUACUAGUUGUACUAGUUAGAGAUGGAGAUGGAAUCCGAAAGGUGAAAAGAAAACUAGGAGGGGUUAGAGUGAACCAUAUAAAAGCAAGAAAGCUCUUUUUGGCACUAGUAGAAAGAGAGAUUGGCUAAAAAAGAGCGAUGCCGAGCGUUGAUUUCGAGGAAGUACUACGAAAGAGUGUUCUCUUCGUAGGAAACGAAGUGGUAAAUGUUCGGAAAAUGGGAGGAGAAAUCAAAGUCCGUGUAAACCAAGUGGUAUUGAAUUCUCCUCAGGCUCUUCUUGGCGCCACGUAUCUUAACAUCCUUUACUUCGGUUGUCUUCUCGCUUUUAGCUUCCUUUUAUGGACAUAUAAUACUCCUCUUUUGUGUGUUAUGUUUCUUACUUUCCUACUAGGGCUUGUGUAGGCGCUGAUCGGGAAGCGUAUACUUAACCUUAAAAGAACUACAUAGGGUGAUAAAGGAAGCUUGGCUAGCGGUAACGGCAGAUAAUUCGACAGGUUAGAUGUAAUGUAUUGGACUCUAUAACCUUUGUUUUCUUCCUUAUUACUCUGAUUAAGAUGUAUUAUAUAUAUGUGUAAUGUGAUAAGUUAAGCAACACGCUUUUAUUGCUUUUAUUCCAAACGAAGUUCAUUAUGAUUCAAGUACAACUUAUCGACAUCUUUUUAUUAAGUACUCCUAGGUUCACUUGAUAAUAAUCCUUGGUGAUAAAGUGAUAUAUAACCUUGUUUGUAGAAAUCCUAGGUUGCCCUACUUGGUUUACAUCUUGUGUUUGAAUGUAAGCAUUGUAUUUAUAUUUUUGUGUUUGUUAUGAAGCUAUAUUCGCAUCAAAAUAAUAAGACUAAAUCGAGCAAUGUUAACGUUGUAUGUUGGAGUGUUUUACUUUCGUGAAUCUUGAUUAUUAAUGGACUAUAUAAUAGCUGUAAUCAAUUUAUUUUCAGCUUUAUUUUGUAAUGUAUACCUAAUGUUUAAACAUGUUUUAAAAAAAUUUUUUUCGAAAUGCCUAAAAUUUAGACAUGGAGUCUUAGCACGUAACUUUUACUAUAACUAUCAACACUCUCUUCUUUAAUUUACAUAGUAUAACGCUGAGAAAACUUAGCUUAAAAUUAGGAGUUUGAUUAUUCUUUAUAUAUUAUAACUAAUUUAUUCUUCUAAGUAUAUGGUUUUUAAUCCUCUUCCACAAAGUUUCGGUUCUUUUAAACUCUUUUCGCUUACUUCCUUUCCUUAUUAAUGGGUAGUAGGAGAAGUAGUAGUAAAAUGUGGUUUUUUUUUUUUUUCUUAAAAGUGUAGUAGUAUAAAUAAUCUUUAUUUAAAAAAAAAAAAAUUUUUCUUCGCUCUCUUCUCCUAUACUAAUGGGUUUCGUAGGUGACCUUAAAAUAACCUUACCUAGUAUUCGUAUAUAGUCUAAUUUUAUUAUUAUUUUCUUUUAAGACUCUAGAGGAGGAUUGGAGAGAAAGAGAGAGAGAGAAAGAGAGAGUCUUUGUUUUUACUCGUGCUUAAUACCCCGCCUUGGUGCCGAUCUAAACCCGGGUGGUCCGUCGGUGCACAGUAGUGCAGUGUCCGACCCUAACAAUACGCACCGGUAAAACGUUUGUUCCAGGAGGAGAGAAAGAUUAAACGUUGCGUACCAGAGCUAAAACCUAAAAAAAAAAAGAAAAGACCUUAAACUCGGGCUUAAAGACGACUUUCCACUAAAAAAAAAAAAAAAAAAACCCCCAAUUCUUUUGGAAAGAGUUUUGACGUUUUUGUCUUUUCUUUUUACUAGGAUAUAACGCUUUAAUUUUAUUAUCACAUAAAGAGAAGAGUAACCGUAAAUUAAUAAGAUUAAAAACAAAAGAAAAAAAGAAAACUUAAAUUAUCAAAGAGCUGUAUAAAACAAGUUUACUUCCUAUUAUUAUACUUACUUUAAAGUAUAUCCUUUGAACAAUGACCCAAACAAAGAAAUUUGUAAUGUCGACUAGUGAAGCAACGUAAUAAUCUUUUUCGUGGUUUACUAGUUAAUUUGUAUAGCUGUAAUUAGGUCGCAAAAGUAAUUUUAUUUUGUAAGUCUAUCUUCCUUUUUUUCUUCUUCUCUCAAGACUAGGAGCGAUUUGUCACAAAUCUAUAUUAAAACAUAGAGGUUAAUUGGUUAUUUAUGGUGAAUACUUGUGUUUUAAAAUAGCCCGAUUUUCUUUGAUCGUGAGAUUUCAAUGUUUCAUUACAAACCGGUGGUCUUAUAACAAGUACAUGUCGAAGUCGUCGUCGUAGGAGAAGAGACAACUAGUAAAGAAGGUUAUUCUUCGGGACUUUAGACUUUGUGAGCCUACAAAAGCCUAGAAUUUCGCUAAUACAUAUGAAAGGUUAGAGGUAGAAGAAGAACUAGCGGGCGACAGGUACCAUAUAUUUGCGUAGCUAUUAAGGUCUUUGACACUUCUGUGGACCUGUAACAAGUAUUCAUUGGUUUUUAAGCCCAAUUAUUGAAAUACUCGUUAGCAUUCAUAAGCCAUUUUGACAUGAUUAGGUAUUUAGUCCAGCUUGGAGGUUGUUACCGUGUGUUCAAUCAGUCUAUCACUUCUUUCCUAGCCAAAAGAAGGCACUUCUAGUGGACGUUGUAUCCAAGGUCAUUUGGAAACAGGUCUAUAAAAUUUUUUAUCUUUGCGUUUAUUUACUCCAACCCUAGUGUCACAUAACCCUAAUAAGUGCGUGCGUCUGAUUAAUCGACGUUAUAUUGUCGUGGUUAGGUUCGUGGGGGCGCGCGCGUUUUUGUUGUGUGUGUGUGUGUGUGUUUUAUUUUCUUUUUCUUUUUUUUUUUUGGAUUCCUAUUAAGAAAACGUAAUAUCUACAAUUUAUAUUUUAUAAAAAGAUGAGUAUAGAUCGCUAAGAAGUGAAGAUCAGAGAUGGUCUGUGUAGUGUAUUGUGGUAUUCUCUUCAUCUACCCUGAAUUUUAAUAGUAUAACUCUUGUCUAUUUGGUUUGAUCGACACGUAGUUCAGUCAUUUUAUAGUUCUUUAAGUAAGGUGGAGAUUGUUUAUAUAUCCGCAUGCAAUCUCCCCGACUAAAUUUUCUCAUUAAGACUUCUAAACUAUACCCACUAAGAGUAUAAUCAGUAUUAUGGAAGCUGUUAAAUCCUGUGAUACGGUUAACUUUUCUAAACUUCUCGCCAUAAUUGUAAUUCCUAUAAAAAUAAGUGGAAUUAACCACUCUUCAGUAUUUUCUUCUUAUGCGGUCCUUGCCCGAAUCCUAUUUGUAAAGGUAGAGACUUCACGAGACAGUGACUCUUGACACCCAACUUUUUUUUAUCUCCUUUCUUUCUUUCCUUUUACUCCGUAGUAUUACACAUGUUUUCCAUUCUAUAUAUUGUCCGUGGUUUCUCUCUCUCUCUCUCUCUCUCUCUCUCUCUCUCUCUCUCUCUCUCUCUGAUUGAAAUGGACCAACCUCACCUAAAACACGGGGGAAUACAGUCACAUUUAACACCCCUGUUGGACUCUUUCAUUUCUUCUAGGAAGUUCUACGUGAGCGUACAUUAUAGUCUCGUAUUUGUCGGAUGGUCAGGCUAGUAUAUUCUACGUUAUAGGUCUAUUGUACUAUAGCUGGUUCGUACCUCUUUUCUCGUAAUAGCAGGGGUCGGAAAAUGUUCUAAAUUGUAAAAGUUAACAAUGAUAAAGCAAGUAUUUUAAACAGGAAAAAAGAAAAAGAAAAAAAAAAAGUGUUGGUACGGGAAAUCCCAUUUUGUAUAUAAGUAGGGGUUUUUACCUAACUUUUGUAGCAGUAUUAACGGUACAUAUACGAGUGCAUCGACGGUAAAAAGAUGUACCGUUAAUACUUGUAAAGUAGGAAAAAGUUACAUUACUUUUACAUGUUAUCUACGUUUCCAACUCCUAGUUAGACAUCGGCACGAUUUUAUAACUCCUGGCGGUUACCUUAGAUGGGUCUUAUUUUCCUGAUCGUAUUGUCAUUCCGGUUGUUAAUGAGUGGAACUAUUUCAUGACUAUACGGGGUCUACUACGAACGACACAGGUCACGCGUGACUAUACAAGUAACUUGACUAAUCUUAAUACUUAUUUUCUUUGUUUUUUUUUCCUUGACAUCUAAGGUUGAAUGGGUAGUUCUCCUAAAUGUCGUGGACCCUUGAGGAAAGGCUUCCUGUCGAACAAAUAAAACACUCAUUAGACCAUAAAAAGUUUAUUUUCUCAGUAAAAUAUAGAAGUUAAAUAGGUUGUUCAGUUUACUCAAGUACUUACGUUGAGUGUAACAUUAAAAGACGAACUUUCCGGUUGUUUAGUACGUGUACCUGUAAACUAACUACCUUCGAAAAAGGUCGCCGUUUUACCUUUAAAGGUCGAUGAAAUGGUUGUAGGUUCUUGGGUACCUACAACGUAGGAAGGGGAACAAGGAGAAAUUAGAAAAGUUAAUUCGGGAGGGAGCACGUGAUUGUAUUUUGUUUCUGGUGUUCUAGUUUUAGUUUGUUUUCCCUCUAAAAGAUUACAAAAUACCUGCUUGUUUAAUAUUUUCCCCCGCCAGUCGUACUCUAACUCUAACCCAUCCCAAAAACAUUCAUGUUAUGAUUUCACGUAUUAUCUUAUUUAAGUCUCCCCAAUAGACGUUAAUCGCAUUUAUAUAUAUAUCUAGUUAUUUUCGAAGGUCUCUUUGUUAAUAUUUAAUGAUACCGGUUUGAACUAUUAAAUAUCGUUAGUUUUCGAAUUUAACAGGUUAUAACUAUCAAUAUGGACCAGCUAAUUAAGACCUAAACUGUUUGGGGUAGGAAAUAAAGAUAUACGAAGUGCUUGAAGAAGUGUACUUAAUGUCGUAACUAGUAGGUUGACGUAAAUCUUUUUGUUAAUAAAAACUCAAAUGUCUUUUAGUUUGUCGGUUGCCGGUUCGUGUUUUCUUUGAUAAUUUUUUUUUGAUUUGUGUCCUUUUUGUGUCACUUAUUGAUCCAUAGUACUAAAGGAUAAACGGUGGGACUUUAUAACUUAGAUUGUGUCGUUGAGGAGUUUGGUAUAUAAAAGUAUGAAAACGGAACAAGGUCGUCACAACGAAGUGGUUAUAUUUAGUGAAACGAUUAUACGGUCGUUCCAUUUUUGAUUUUUGUCCAAAAUUAUAAAGUUCCCCCGUUAUAAUUAUCCUCCCAUAGUAUACCAAUUCGGUUUUUCCUUGUUAAUUCGUGGAUUUCUCUGCCGUAAUUAUAAAUUUUUUUUUUUUGUUGACGUUGGUAUAAAGGUAUGGCAAAGUCGUGGUAUCGUCCUUGGUGUCAUGCAGAGCAAUACGAGUUCGGAGGGGGGUACAGAGACAUCUCCGGAGAGUUAGAUGUAUUCUUUUUUUCCCAUUCUUUAAUAUUAAAAUUUGUUCCUUAAAGUUGGAGAAUUACAGUAUCAAUGGUUCUUUAAUCUUUAUCACCGACUAUAAAACGAAUUUAAAAAAAAAGACCGUGAGACGUCCAAAAAUAACGGGUUCAGUAAUCCGUUAAUUGUAUUCGAGGAUAUUCCACGGAUUCGCAAAGUUCCUCUCGUUUUGAAAAGUCUUCGAUAUGUUUUUCCGGUUUAAGUUUGUAACUACGGAUGUAAGUAUAUUGGACGUAUCACCGGUUUUUGUCCCUUUUUUUUUUCUCCUCCUUAAGAGUUCAUAUCUAAUGUACGAAUGUACGAUUAGUAUUCAUGUUUUCAAUGAUUGGAAACCCCGUGGUUGUGGUGGAACAGAACUGGGUUAUUGUAAAGGUUCUACCAGGUUGGAAAAGAAAUCUUACAGUACGGAGAUGUUCACCUGUCUAUAUUAUGUACAUCAUAUAAGAAACUUCAACGCCGAUAUAUUUAGAUGUCGUGAUAUAUUAGUUAAUUUCUGUUGUUUUCUCUUCCCACACUUGUAUGAUACAGGGUCACAACGAGGGGCGAUUAUAGGUAACAUAGUUGUGAGUUUUCACUCGUUCGUUAUCGACCUUUUCAUUAUAGUUUGACGCCCUCUUGUUUUUCAGUAGUUAUGAGCACCGUUUUUCUUACUUGUAAACUAUACACGACUUUUUAAAAGUAGUAUUCGGAGAUAUACUUACAGAGACUAUAUUUCCAUACAGGUCAUUUAUAUAUAUCUUAUCAACGUUAAAGUUGGAUUUACAUCGUGAGUGUUCCGUUCACUUUGAUAUUGUUUGGAUAAUCAUAGUAGAUGAGUAGUAUUCUCAUCAAUAUUAAGCAAUAAUUUUAAUCGUCCACUUUUCGUACUAUAGUUCCUGAAGAUGUAUAAGAAUGCUCAAACUUUGCCUCUAUCUUUUCAAUUCUGUUAGGUUUACAUGAAGUUAUUAAUUAGUCGGGAUUUUGGUUCGGUCGUUAAAGUUAAAAUUGACUAUCUUUCUUUCACUUCAUGAUUGUAACUGUGCAUCAGAAAGCGGAGCACUACACAGUUGGUGGUUGAAUCAGAGUCAACGACUCAUUUUUUUAUCAGGACCUUUUUUUCCUACUUUAACUCUUUACUACUAAUCUAAGUGUGAUAUGUUCGUACAUCCUAUGUAGGUCCUUCCGCUGUUCUUGUGUUCAUACGUAACUAUACAUCCAUACGUUCUUCCAUACGUUCUGAGUGGUCAAAGGUUCAUACCGGAUUAUAAAUUAAUUCUCUGUGUUUCUCCUUAGGGUUUUACAGUCUAGUUCGAAUAUAGUAUAAGUAGUUGGUAAUCUAUACUAGUGUCAUGAAGUGAUAGACCCUAAUAUGGUAUAUUACGGCGAGUACGUUUUGAUAAAAGGGAUUAACGUUAUUUUGUGUUCGUGUGGUUUACGGAAGAUGUACUGGUGAUUUAGGCUAAUAUUUUAUUCAACUAUUUAGUUGUUUUUGUUAAGUUUUAGGUUAAAAAUUAUCUUGGGUGUUUCGUGGUUUUGGUUUUAGAAGCUUUUUAGGAUGAUAUGUGUUGAGUUAGUUGGUAUGCUUCCUCGUUAUGUGAUGUAUUACUCUACUUUUUUCCUCCUUUUUUCAAUUUAGGGUUUGGUUUUUCGCAGAGUGAGCAGAGCUACCACUUCUCCUUUGUCAUUUAGUUGUUUUUAGGUUAAAAAUUCUGUUGGUUGUUGGGUUACCGGAGUUUUGGAGGCCCUUUAAGAUGAUGUCUCGCAGGUUACUUGGUAGGUUUCGUCGUUUGUGCGUUGUAUCGCUCUAGUCUUCUCCGCUCCUUCGCAGAGUGAGCAGAGUCUCUACUUCUCCUUCUCGUACUGCUCUCGCCUCUGCUAUCACUGCUACGGGGGCCUCUCGCACGCCGACAUCUUCAGGAGCAACUAGAAGCCCAUGCGCAGCUCCAAGAAUUCGAACAACUCCUAGAGGUAGAGGUUUGUGAUUAGGUUAGGUUAGCCCCUUUGUUUGGGAUCGGCUUCGUUAGUUUGGGAUCGUGGCGGGAGAGAGAGAGAGAGAGGGGUUUCUCCUUUAGAUCCCAAAGGCCCCGCCUUUGUCACGAGGCUAGAGUCGCGCCGCCUCAGCGUCUCCUCCGCUGCGCAGCUGUGCGUUGCUCUCUCAGGAAACCGGGAAACUGGUGGCAGCAUACUAUAAUUAAUUAAUAAAGAUAUUAUUACUAAUUUUAUAUUCCGUUUACGAUGUAACGAUACGAAUGUAUGUUACAUAGGCUAUUACGUCGCCUACUCGUUAUAACGCAUUUUAACGCAUGCACCGUCUAUUAGUCACCUAGCCAUAACAUAUGAAACAGGUGCAGCCUAAGGUGGCUUCGUAGCCGAACUCCAGUCCAUGUAAUACUGCAUGGGUAUCAUAAUCAGAAGCAUAACUAACUCGCACAUCGCGCCCCUCUAAAUGACGACGGGAAAACAUCCGACGAUUACCGUAAAAGGGGAAAAAAUUGGAAAAAAAAAAAGGGAGAGUAAGUGGAAAAAAAAAAAAUUAAAUAAUAGUAAAACAAAUAAAUAAAUAAAACUUCUUCGUGAGUCUUAUUAUUAGAGCAAAAGCCUACAGAACCUAUAGUAAUUUUGUUAAACUUGGUAGAAUUUUAGUGCCAUAAUAACGUGAUCUUAGAAUUUAAAAUUCAUAAUCCCCUAAAAAUAAAAAACCCAAUGAAACCUACGUGAAAAACCUAUAAAAUAACCCCUAUUAAAACCCCAUUUGACCUAUUACUAGAUCUUUUCAACGUUUCGAGUUGAACACUCUUGUCUUAGUUUAUUAUGAUAGGAUAUUUUGAUAAAGUGUUUAUUAGGUUUACCUCGCAUCAUUAACCUAAUGUACUCGAGUGAUAAAGGAAAAAACCUUUGAGAAAUGUAUAUUGAACCUCCUAAAAUGUGCGCGUUAAUUAACGUCGUAUACGCAGCCUGGUAAAUCAUGCUUUUACCACGAUACCUAUAUAUCUUUAUGUAUUAAUUUUUUCUUUUUCUAUAUAAAAUGUCAUUGAUCAUAAAAUUUUACGGUAAAUGUUCGUUCGUUUAUCUUCCCGUUUUUCGUAAAAUGAGAUAGUUUUAUUAUUACUGAACAGAAUAAAUGAAUCGUAGUGUCACGUACAGAGGUAAGUGGUGAUUACCUCUUUAAUUUGGACGUCCAAAUUAUUUUAUAAUUACUUUAAAUUUGGACGCUCUUUAAGAGUAGACGAACCUCUUUCUGUUGAUAAAGAAAGGAGAAACUCUAUUAGUAAAUAUGAGACAAACCUACCUCUCUUAUUUUCCUUUUUUUUUUAUUUCUUUUUUUUCUCUCUCUUUGCAAAAAUGGACACUUUUCUCCCUUUCUUUUUCUUUUUCUUUGAUUUUUAUGUGAUGAUGGUAUAUUUCAAAAUGUAUAAAUCUUGCCUUUUCUCUUUAGGUAUGUACUAUGUGUUCGGUGUUUAAAACGAUUUGAUACUUUCAAACCUAGUGGAUGUACCUUGACUUUCUUUGUUUUUUUGUGUUUACUUUUCGAUGUUGUCCUUAAUGUACUUUGGAUUUCGUGUUGUACGGGGCUUAAAACAGCUUUUCGGGAUUACCAAAAGUGGUUAAAUUGAUGUUCAGUGGUAUAUUAAAUUCCUUAUGGACGUACCAAGCCUGUAAGAUGUCAGGAUUUCAAUCCUAGAUAAUCGCUUUAAAAUCAAACUAAGAGUUGUAAAGUUCAAAACGUUAAACGUAGGGAAUAGAAGCUCAAGAAAACGUUAGAAUCAUGAGGAUAUUUAAACGAACAAUAUUACUUACCUUUAAAAGGUCAAUUGACGGUGUAUUAGUGGUGAACCUACCUCAAUGUACCACAAAUACCUCUAUGAUGGUGGGUAAAAUUGUUUCUAUAAAUUUCCUGAUUCUGACUAUAUCUUUUGUUUUAAAGCCCUGGGUUAACAUUAUGAACUUUCGAGCUCAUGUUGUUCACGUUAGAUGGUUAUUGAACUAUAGGUCACAACGUUUACUAAUACGCGGUAGAGUGACAAGAACAGUGGUAUGUUUAGUGUUGGGGCAGCAAAGUCCUUCCGUUUCAUUAGACCAUCUCUUUUUUUUAGGUUUUAAUCAUUCUGUUAAUAUUAAUUUGACAGUUCAUACGUAGAGAACAGCAAUAAUUGUGAGUUUUUUCGCUCUGUGUAUUUCGCGAACUAUAGGAUGCGUGUUUUUAUUAGUAAAAUUAAAAGAUUCGGCAGUAUCUCAUUUAUACAACAAAACGUUUCUCCGUCUACUGUUCAUAUAUAUUAAUGGUGAUCGUGUCUUUUUUCUCUACUUUAGGCCCCUCUUUAUACGAUAAGUUCUAAUCGAUCGUAUACGUGUGUGUUAAGUUAAUGUUUAACGGCUACAAACAUAGACUUUCUUCUGAGACCGUGUUUUACGCCACUAUCUUCUCUAAAGAGGUUUAUAUACUUAUAACCUCUUAUAGGAGAACAAAUAUGUACAAAUAUUCUAUAAUGAAGGCUUCAUUGAUAAGGCUCACGAGUUUACGAGAGUGUUUGAAUGGUUUAGUCUCUUCGAAUGAAAUGAUCUGAAAAAUGGUAUUUGUCAAUUCUGGCUGGAUUUUGCCCUUACUAAUAAAAAGUAAAACCUCAUAGUUUCAUGUCAUCCGGGCCAAAUUCGAAGUUCCUACUUCUCUAACUUGCCAUUUUCACUUACCAAUACAUGUGCUAUAGCGUCUUAACUUAAGAAAGACGCUUUAAUUAACUAGGUCUGAUUGUAACUUAGUCUGAUUGGUUUUCUCCAGUGCUUGAUCUUUUUUAAAUUCUAACGAACUAAUAACCAUAGUGAAUCUUUAUUGAUGAUCUUGUACUUUUUUUUCAUUCAUAACGAACCAAUUGUUCUUUGGUUUACCCAACUUGAUGUCUUUAUCUUCCUUCGUUCUUGUCACGAUGUAUUAUCAUAAUAGAUAGUUCGGCACUUUUUCUAAGUUGUUUUCUGUUCGUUUAUGUGAUAGAUAAAAUGCAGUUCGUUAUUUUUCUUGAUUUAAAGAUCUUUUUAAGAUUUCCUAGUUAUCGUUAUCGAAAUCCUUGACAUGCCGAAUAUUAGAUGUCUAUCUUUCAAGUUCCGUAUCUUCUAGUAAUAAACAUUGUUGUAAUGGUCUUUUUUCUUCAUUUUCUUUAUGGUCUAUAUUCAAUUACGUGUUUAAUAUCAGCAGUUAGGACACUUUCCUAAUUGGCUUUUUAGGCGCUGUUAAACCACUACGUGUAUUCGUGAAGAAUCGAGACGCCCUCGGUUUUGGUGGAUAAGAGAGUAGUAAUGACGGUGAGUGUGGUAUUAGCAUUCAGUUAAGCCAGUACCCUCCUUACACGAACUCGCGUUUCUUGUAAUAUACACGUACGGGAAGUAGUGGUACUAGUACAUUAUGGCCGACGGUAUUGUGUAAUCCACUCGUUGAUACCAAGUAUUUUGCACGCUAUAACGGGUAUGAAAAACGUCAAUACCAUUACCCAUUGUUUAAGACCCGAAGGCAACUAAGUAAGCAUGAACCAAGUGGGUUAUUGAGCCAGGGUGCUAAGGUAGAACUUCAGAAAAGCGGUUCUAUACGACAAACUUUCUAUAUUAGUAGAAGGAGUAGCAAGUACAGGUGAGAUUGGAGUAGUUAUUCAAGCGGGCAUAUAAGUGUUUAUUUACAUGGCCGGGCCUAGCCCAGGGUGCUUGCAUCCGGGGUUGGCGCUAGGGCGCAGAAUUUUUGGAGUUUCACUUCGGAUUAAGGGAAAACCCAGUGAGAUAAAGCUGUUAAUUUUCUCGUAACUGUUCUUCUUGGUGUAAGUCGUUAUUCUCCGAAAGCCGAGUGUUCGUUGGGAUCUCUUGAUAUCCCUUCCAGCGGAAGUAAAACAACGCGCGUGCUCGUUAAUUACAGUGGUCCCUCUGUCUGCGAAACCGUGAACGUUGGAACAUUACCAAAGUAAUUCGACUAACCAAAAUUUAUAAAUUGGAAUCACUAUAUACACUUUACUCACCCAGGAAAGAGUAACAGUUGUAGUAAUUGUUCCGUUUGUCCAUAUAAGAGUCACGGUCUCCUAUUUAGUCUAUCAUAUUGAGAGGGGGAGGGGCUGCCCAAGAGAAAGGUAAAAACUCAGUAGAAGGUUUGGCGUUCUGGGAGCCCAACGGGACCGAGAGAGUCGUUAAACAUGAACUUUUGUAACUAUGGUCUGAAGCGAAAGAGGAAGGUGCUCAAGACUUAGAACAUCUCGGGUAGUAUCAUUAUCUAAAAGGGCCAAACCGUCAACCCCAGAAAGCGCGAGGCGUGUUGGGAUUAAACCAAGAAAGCCAUGUUCGAAGAAAGGUUUCGUUCUAAAGGGGAAAGUUCGAAAACCAGGAGCAAGAACCACGAUGGAGGAACUGGUCACAUUUAGUUCUUUAGCUGUAGCAGAAGGAGUAAGAGCAUUGGCGGCCUCCUUUGUUAUGUAUAACGGUGCCCUAGUAGAACUAAUAGCUUAAACCGCCAGUACAUCAGUUAUGGACGGUACGAUCCCCGCACAUUUGGUUACUACGUGUAGAGGUAGGAUUUUAUCUUUUAUAGGGGAUGAAGUUGCGGUCCAUGACCCGGUUAGGAGAAGGGACGUAAUCGGAACUCUAGCAAUCGGUUGUACUAACGGGGCCGGAAAUUUAGGACCGCGGGCAAGUCCAAGCUGCUGAGCAGGUUGACGUCUUCGGCGGCGGAGUCACGUAGUUUUUAGUAGUACUAGCGGAGGUGUAAGAGGGAUCCCAGUAAUAUGCUUUGGGACUCCCGGCGAUAGAGUAAAAGGCCAUGGAAGGAAUGACCGAAUUCUCCGAACUGGAAGAACUGAAAACGGCUUAGCCUCGCGAGGCGUCUCGACGAGGGAUCCGCCCUGCCGGAAAACUAAAAGGCCGGAGAUCUUCUCCAGAGGCAUUGCUUUUACCUGAGUAGGAGGAGCAGGUAAAGUCACUUCGAGCCGCCCCACACUUUGCGUCUCUAACCGCACCGAAACUACCCCGGCAAUCUAGGUAAUGAUCGUUAAAAGCCUCCGGCAGGAGAACCAGAAAAGUGGCCUCAGUGAACUCCAACACGUCGCCGUUUUCUGCCUUGCCCGCCCCUUUUCAAUCUUCCUUAACCUCUAGGUUUUAGCGGGCUUCUCCCUGGUUUCCCCCAAUACGUUUGAUCACCACCUAACGAACUAACCAAUUUCAACAGCUUGUGGUUUACCCGCCCCUUUUUACCUCGGUCUCAAGAAUUCCCGAAAUGUAGGUUUCGUAGGACCAAACUUGGAACGCCCAAGAAGCCCACGGAGGGGUAUCGUUUGGUUUCAUGGACAUCUUGUUUUUCUAGUGAUAUAUCAAGAGUCGUUGAUAUUUUUUGCAUUAAACUUGUAUAUUAAUUAUAGAUUCGCACUUUUUAUAUAUGUAUGUUUCUCCUUCGUCAUUGUUGUUAUCAUUUCUUUAAUACUAAUUGACAUCUUUACUUUUCUUGUUUCACUGGUAUAUUUUAUCAAAUUUUAGUAGUCCUUUUUUUUCUUUUUUUUGUCUCUCUUUUAAAGAGUUACUUUGAUGUUUUAUUCUCUAUUUUCUUUUUUGCUUCUUGUUUGGAUCUUUUUCAAGGAUUCCGUGUUUUCACUCCUAAAUGUGUAUGUCACUUUGGGAUCUUUUCUCGAUUCCUUAUAUAAGCUGCUUUGUAUGUUUUUGGUUGGUUUGGGAUCGUUUGAUUUUUGGUCUUUUUUGGCCGCUUGCAUCGUCUCUAGGUCUUUUUAACCUUCGAGCACUCGUUUUUUUUAGCCUAAAAGCUUCACCCAGCUUCUCUAACUUCGUUAAGCUGCUUUUUUUAUCGAAGCCUCUAGUUUAAUCACCUAUUUAAUCCGCUCAUUUAGUGUCCUUUAAACCCCUUUCCCUCCCCUAAUGGAGCUCCUCGGCCUUUGGGAUCUUUAAACGUUAAAAAACGAGCAUAAAUCUAGCCACUUUUGGGAUCUUUUCUUAGGCUCUUAACCUAGGAGCUAGAUAAAAUCUUCGGAGUGGUCGCAAGCCCAAGGGAAGUUACCUAAACAAAAAUCCCUGUCUCCGGGACCGAAACUGCCCCUCUGUGCUCAAAACAUGCCUGCCGCAGGCGUACGCCUCCCCCUUAUACGCCACCUCUAACUUCUUACUCACUAACCUGCCAGCUAACGUGCCCAGGCGUACACCGCAUCAAGCAUGUUACUCGAGACGGUAAACUACCCAACCCUCGGCAACCUAACAAACCUCUAAGCACCACGGGUUAUAGACAGCUGGCGAACAACUGCUAUCAAUCUUCGAUCUAAUGCGAACAGGAGACGACUGAAACGUUGCCACGUUUUACAUGAAGUUUUACAUUAACCAAAGAAAGAAGAAAAAAAAAAAGGAAAAAGAUUAUAUAUGUGUUAUUUUGAUAAAUGGAUAGAUUGGAGAAAUAUUUUUUUAUAAAGGAUAGAUCGGAGGAAAACUUUUUAUAAGAGGUAGAUCGGAGUAAAAGUUUCUAAUCUCUUUUUUUUUUUUUAAAAAAAUUAUAUAUAAUUCCCCAAUUCACUUCCUCUAAUAGAAAAAGAGAGAGUAGAGGAUAAUUAAAAAUAUAGUUUUAUUAAAAUUAGGGUAAGCCGGAUAUUUAAAGUACAAAAUUACAUAAUUUUGGAUUUUAUGCUCUUUAGGUUUAUCAAAAACCUAGUUCUAGUAAUAUUAGUUGAGGAAAGCUUGGUACGUAUUAUAAAAGUAGUUUUAUAUUUUUCUAAUCUUAACCAACUACGCGGUACACUUUUAAAAGAUAAAACUUUAUUUAACUAUACUCUAUUUAAUAUGUGUUUUUAAUCCCUCACUCUUCCCUAGAGCCCCUUCCUCUCUCUUUUUUUAUUAAAGGAGGUGAAUUGGGAAAUUAUAUAUAAUUUCCAUAAUUAAAGAGAAAAAAAGAAAUUAGAAACUUUUACUCCGAUCUACGCCUUAUAAAAAGUUUUCUUCCGAUCUAUCCUUUAUAAAAAAACAUUUCUCCGAUCUAUCCAUUUAUCAAGAUGUGUUAUAUCUGUUUGUAAUUGGCAUGUGCAAACUUCGCACUGUAUUUGAGGUUUAUACAAAAAAAAAAAAAAAACUCUUUAUCCAUCGAACGAUGGACGAAGUAAGUAAUUCGUUUUACUUAAUCCGAAUGUAUAACCUCCGUCGGUCCCGGAGGCUCCGCUUUGGUUGCUAAUGUUUUUGUCUUUUCUUUUUGAUCUGAUGGAAUAUCGAUGGGAAUGUUGAUUCUAUGUUUUCCCGGGAUAUCGUUGGGUAAGUUUAUUCUAUGCUCUCCCUCUUUGAGGAGUCAGGCUUCUUUGACCAAUGGACCGGAGUUAGGUUAGACACUAGUUUCUUCACUGAGCAAGUUCUUGGGCCUAUCGUAAUUCUGAGGGGAGCGUCUUCUAGGACAACAAAGCGAGACAGGUUUGGUGGGUGGUCUAACGGCGGUUAGGCCAAUCUGAAAAACGAGAGUUGAGCCGUAACACAUACAAUGGAUUAAGUCGGGUUUAGGAGGACCGUGGGGGAUGAAGGCUAGGCGAAUACAGACGUUGAGGGCAUGUUUCAUCUUCCAUAGACUGCUUAUGUGUGAGGGCUUUUUCCACUAGUGACCAAAGACGAUUGUAUCGCGUUUUUUACGUCAUACCUAGCUGUACCGGGGGAGAAGCCUAUUAAGACAGACGCCAUUCGUUAGAGAGCGCCUCUUCAUAGGUUUACUUUUAAAACUAAAACUGGCCUUAAGACUCGGAGGUCUCUACUUGCAUCUGCCUCAGAGAGUCGGGACGUAGUCACUACUUGAGCAUUUCGCUAAACUGGCAUUUCUAAACUAAGCUUCAGGUAGAGGUGAAUUAACAUAGACCACGUAGGCUACCUGAUAUGACUCGUUAGUCUAAAAACUCGUUUCAGGAGACGGCCGCCCGCAGCGACAGUCAUAAGCGUUAUUCCCGAGACCAAUAUUUUGCGGUAGAGGUGGGAAAUAGUAAGGUCGUAAAACUUUGACACCGGAGGAACAACCGUUGCGACCUUACUUAUGGACCUUUAGAUCAUGACUCUCCCCAAAGAAGUUAGGUUUAUAGUCUGGUGUCGGAUUAUAAAAAGGGCAACGGCUCGUGCAUGCUUUGUGGUGUAGACUUGUGAAGAGCUGUAGAGUGGUGUGAAGAGGUGGUGACCCUCACCCCAGCCUUCCGAGAAGGGAGUAUAUUGCCGGAAGAAGACCAUAUUAUAUUUCUAAAUUAGUUGGAGGGGGUAUCGACUAAGCCGAGAAACUUCUUCGCGGUGGUGGUAAACCAAUCAUCUCGGCAUAAGCGACGAAGGUACAGAAACUGAGGAUCGGGGGGAAGAAAAAACGAAGAUGUUUAAUCAAAGGUUGAGUGGUCUGUACUCGGAGGGCAUUAAAAGCUCGAUGGANNNNNNNNNNNNNNNNNNNNNNNNNAGGGUUGAGUGAGUUAUUGGUUUAAUGUUGAAUAUAUAUAUAUAUAUAUAUAUAUAUAUAAUUAGGCUGAAAUACUAUUAAUAGCACUAAGCUAUUGGUGCUAUUAGGUUUUCAGCCCUUGGAUGAAAAUAUGUACGAGAUGUGGGCUCCCUAGGGUUGAGUGAGUUAUUGGUUUAAUAGUAUAAUCUAAUGAGUAAAAAUAGUUAAAAAGUUAAAUCUAACGGUAGAAAAUUUGAUAGCACCAAACGCUUGGUACUAUUGAUAAUAUUCCAGCCGAACUAUAUAUAUAUAUAUAUAUAUAGUCAUUGGAUUUUAGUGGCCACUAAUAAUAAUAAUAAUAAUAUAAAAAUAAUAAAGUUUGGCCCAACAACCUUAAAUACAUAUCACUUAAUCAUGUCGAGAAAGAUACAGUUACAGCCGUCCAGUUAGUUGGCCAAUCCACGCCUACCAACUAACCACAUAUCCAACCCGACCUACCAAUUAACUUAUUCUCACCACUAUUUUGAUACUACAAAUAUCUAGAAUCUAUUGCCAUUUUAAUAUUUAGUUCAAAUUUUUAUAUAUAAAAAGAUCUUUUGCUUAUUUAUUUAUUAUUAUUAUUAUUCAAAAUUUUUAAAGUUUUUCUAAAAUUAUUAAAAUACUUUUCUAAAAUCCAGUCUAUUAGUAAAUCCUAGAAAAAAUAGAAAUUUGAAAAAAAAAAAAUUUAAAAUUAAUAAAAGUACUUUGGUUCUUCAAAAAUAAAUAAAAUAUUUUUAAAUUUUUAAAUGAUAUAUUAGAUAUUAUUUCUUUAUAAGAAAAAUAUUACUUAUAUACUCUGAAAGAGUGUAUGCAGGUACACCUCAUCAUCCUACGAUUUAAAAAAAAAAAAAACAACUUAACAAUUGGGGGUGUUAAAUAUAUAUACACUAUCUUUGGGGUGUAAAGAUAGUAGUGCUCAAANUGUAGAAACAGAAUCCUAAGGCCUAGUUUUGUAUUGUUGUCAUUUUUUUUUUUUUACUUUUUUAAACACUAAUUUUGUAUAAUUUGAUGUGUUAGAGAAUUUUUUCUUUUUUUAAAUGUUUUUGUUAUAGUUGAUUAGAUUACCAUGUGUAUCAGGCUAAGUGAUAAAUACAAUUUAUCUAAAAAGAUUUGAAAAUAGAAAAAAGUUAUUUUUAAUAUUUUGUUUUUUGUCCUCGAGUAACACUUUAGAUGAAAAGAUGGUAAGCAAUUUAUUGUCCUCGACAACUCUUUUUUAUAUGGGAAAUUUUAUUUUAAAAGUAGGGUCAAAUGCAUACAGCUCCCUACAAACAUAGCCAAUUGCGGAUAUAUCCCUGCAAAAUCGAAACUCCAUAAUUGUUCCUACAAAAGUCCCAAGUUAUGCAGAUAUGUCCCUGCAGUUAUCAUCUGUUAGUGAGCUGUUUGUUUUUUAACAGUGAAGUCGUGAAAUGACCAUUUUAUCCUCACAAAUAUAUCCCUCCAAAAGUUUUCCUCUUCCCCUUCUCUUUCUUUUCCUUUUCGGACCGUCGAAAAAGACGACGGCGGCGGCGGCGCGGGGUCAGGUUCGCCGACGACGAAGAAAAGGCAAGAACGCCGAGCACCGGAGCUCUACCCGGAGCUCGUCGCCCUCAACGUCGUCCCCUCCCUCGUCGGCACCGACGCCAACGUCCUCGGUGACCACGACGACCCCGCACACGCCCUCGUCGCCGCCCUCGUCGCCAACAACGCCCUCGAGCUUCUCGUCUAGAAACUCGCCCGCCUUUCCUUCGAGAUCGACCCCGACGAGAUUCUUCUCCCUCGCCGGUGACGAAGAAGAGGGAAGAGGAAGAAGGAAGAAGGAAGAAGAAAGAAGGGAGAAAAAGGGAGAAGAGGAAGAGGGAAGAGGAAAAGGAAGAGGGUUCGCCACCGUCGCCGUCAUAUCUCCUCGCCGGCGACGAAGUAGAAGGAAGAGGAAGAGGAGGAAGAGGAAGAGGGGUAAAUACGUCAAUUCACACUAUAAUUAAUCAUGGUUAAGUAUUUUAAGCAUGGUUAACGAAAAUUUUCUAACAGAUCUGGACGGUAGGGAUAUAUCUGCAUAACUUAGGACUUUUGCGGGAAUAACUUAUGGAGUUUCUAAUUUGCAGGGAUAUAUCCGCAAUUUACUAUGUUUAAAGGAACGUGUAUACAAAUAACCCUUAAAAGUAAUAUAGACGAUAUCUAAAUUUUUAUUUUGACAAUUAGACCAUCUAAAUUAACUUUAUGAAAACCUCUAUACCUGUAAAUUUAUUCCCACCACCAUUUCGAGUGCUACUAUAAAUAUCUAAAUACUAUUGAUAUAUUAAUAUAUAUUUACAAUAUACAAAAAAAAUGUGUAAAAAUUCAUGAAUUCUAAAAUUUUAAUUUUGACAAUUAGACAUCCUAAAUUUUAUGAAAUAGUUUAAUUGUCCUUCUGAUCAAGCAAAAUUUUGCAUAUAGUUUUUCUAUAAUUUAAAAAAAAAAUUAAUUUUUUUUGUCUUUCUUGUUUUUAUAGGUAAGUAUGGUGAUGAAAAUAUAAAGUGAAUCUACCUUUAAUUUUAUUACUUUUCUGAUAUGUUAGAAUGGAGAAAAAUAGAUUUUUUUUAUAUUUUUAAAUAUUUACAAAAUGGAUAUAAUUAUUACUGUCAUAUUUUUAACUACAUACAUCUUUAAUUAUAUAUUUUUUUUUUUGUUACAUCCAAUCUUAAUAUUUUUUUAAAAAAAAAUAUUUAUUCUCGAAAUAUGAAAAUUUUUGAUUAAAAUUUAUUUAAUUCAUUCCACAUAAAAAAACUGCGGCGGGAGCGAUUUUCUCGGGUGGAGUUUGAAACGCGGCACACCCGUUGGUGGGCCCCACGGGCCGUCCCCAUCUCUCCACCGUACGAUCUCCGAAUCGAUGUAUCUUAAUAUGUGCGAUGACGUGUCGCUGUACACCGACGCACGGAAAAGGAGGAUUUCGCCACGUGUACGCCUAAGCGUCGGGCCCGAUCCACGUCACUCGACCGUUUUUGACCGGCACGUGUCCCUCUCCGGUUGGUUUAACCGGGUCGGUGACCGGGAGGGGCAUUUAAGUAAGGAAAAUAGUAAACACACUGCCCAUGUUGUUGUUGUUGUUACUUAUACUCGCUCCUCGGCGGCGAUUUACUCUCCUCUCCUCGGCGGCGAUGGUAAUGGGGUGGUGGGACCGCAUCGUGUUCCCGAUGCGGAGGGUCUGGAUCGGCGUCGCCUCCCGCCUCGGGAUGCGCAAGUCCGGUAAGAUGGACGGCCGCGAUCGAUUCUCGCCUUCGCCGGAAUUUUCCUUNCUAUUCUUUUUUUUUUCCUUCUUCUUUCUUCUGUUUUUUCAUUUCUGGCCUGACAAUGGCGGUGGCAGUUUGGAUUGUUGAGCAGCGGCGGCGGCGGUCUCGACGGCGUCGGCGUUUGUGCACAACAGCAUCGGCGGCAGUCACUACAGCAACGACGGCAGUCACUACAGCAACGGCGACUUUUCUCCUUUUCGUUUUCUCUUUUUUUUUAAAAAAAAACUCUUCUCCUCAUUCUUUUUUUUAUUCUUCUUCUUUUUUUUCUUUACUUCUUGCCUGACAACAUCGAAUGGCAGCUUAGGCGGUGCCAGCGGCGGCUUGGGCGGCGUCGGCAGUACGCACGACAGUGGGAAGCAGCGUCAGCGGUCAUGGUGGCAGUGGCGGCCGCGGGGACAAUGGCGGUCGCUACAACAACAUCAGCAGCGGUCACGACGGCAACAGCCACCGUUUUCCUUUUCUUUUUUUUUUUCUUUUUUUUUGUUUCUCUUCCACUUAUUCUCUGUAACUCGCUCUUCUUCUUUUUCUUCUUUUUUUUUUUAUCUCUUCUUCCUCCUCUUCCUUCUUCUUCUUCUUCCUCUUCUUCUAUUUGAAAGAUAAUUGAAAAUUUAAUGUCACUAUAAUUUUUUUUCCCUAAAAACACCUCCUUAAAUAUAUUUUUUUAAAAAUUAAUUAUUUUUUCGCAUAUUUUUUUAUUUUUAUUUAAUUAUUUUUUUUAAAUAUUAUAUUUAUAUUAUCUAUCCACAGCGAAGCGCGGAUCCUACACUAGUUAUAUUUUAUAACACAUCACUAUUACUCAGGAGGAGGAUCAAACAAACUCUCAUGUUAUUUUAUUCAUUACCGGUUAUUACAGGAUCGGAUGUGCUGCUCUAAUCACUCCAAACAUGUUCGUCGACUUAAUUUAGUAAUGCACACAACACUCCCAACUUAAACAAAAUUAUACCAUACAAAACAAAAUUUCAAAUUUGAAGAGGGAGACCGACCGUCCCUACGGCAAGUGGCAAAAUAUUUGGUGGUUGAUAUCCAAGGUCCCAAGUUCGAGUACUAAUUGAUUUACAUUUUCAGCUAAAUUUAUUUUUAAAUAAAAUAAACGAAGCGGGUAGCGUGCUAUCUAUCUCUCCAAAAAAAAAAAAAAUUGAAGAAGGAGAGAUUUAAGUAACCGUAUACAACAAGAAGGGAGGAUUCUAAUCGACUCUAACACUUUACUGUGGAGAUAUAUAAUCAAUAACCAUCUCAUUUUCUUUACGGAAAAAGGCUCAUUCAAUACUUGCCGAUCACUGCAUCUGCAUUCAUGGGACAUACAAAAAGCCCAAACCACAAAGCAAAAGAGUAGGCCGCUCUGAUCCAGUCAGUUUCAGCAACAAUCAUAGAUGGUCCCUCAUCUACUGACUUUUAUCUUACACGUCCACUCUGUAACUGACCUCAUUUUAAUUCAGCAAUGUCUGGGUCAACCUUUUCCGUUGACCAACCCUUAAAAAAAAAAAUUCAAAUACCACCCCUAUUAUUUUGCUUUUUUUUUUUUAUUUUAGUACUAUACGGUUUAAAGUNUCUCUGUGUAUCGCGUUUUCACCCUUUUUUUUUUUUUACCAUACUUGUUUGUUGCGUUGUACGUAUUAUUAUUAUUAUUGUUAGUACUCUAAAUUAGAAUUAGUAGUGUAUGAUUACUUUUAAUGAGUAUCAUUAUUAGGGAUAAUUUUAUUUUAACUCGUUCUAGAAUUAGUAGUGUAUGAGCAUUGCUUCGAUUUUUUUUUUUUCUUGGGAAUUAAUGUUCAGGAGGAGGAAAAAUGAAAAAUCGAAAUUUUAUGGCCCGGAAUGCAUAUAGUGGGAUUUUUUUGUUUGUUUUUUUAUGCUGCCUCUCAAUAUUUAUUUAUUUAUUUAUCUAUUUUUCUCAAUUUGGAUUUUUUUAAAAAAAAAUAUUUCAUGAAAUUAAGCAAAAUUUAAUAUAAAGUAGAAAAUGAGACAUAUAAUUUAUUUUGCGCUCGAAUUUUAGAAAAUUUAGAGAAAGUAAUGAAACUAUUAUUAAUUUUUAUUUUAUUAAAAUUAUUAUUAUUAUUAUUAUUAAUGUUGGGCUUAAGAUGGGUCCAUAAGGUGGUUGGCUAUACUUAUUUGAGGUGGACGGUGUUAAUAAAUAAUAAAUAAUAAAUAAUAAAUAAUAAUUAUUAUUAAGGGGAAAGAAACAGAAGAUACUAUGCCUUGGAUAUUGUAAUCAGAAUAUUCCCGAAGAAUAUUCCCUCUAUGUAUGUGUGUUUUUUUAAAAAUUUUUAAUUAAUGCUAAGCACGAGAUUUGUGGUGAGUGACCACCAAAAUAAGAAUCGGCACUGUAUAUAUUCUUUUAUUUUAUCUUAAAAUAAUAUGAUAAUAUAUAUAUGUUAAUAAUAAUAUGUAUGCUCCUACCACGUUCUUUGUGGGGUCUUUUUAUCACAGCAAUUUGUUUGUUUAUAUAUAUGUAUGCUAGUGAAAUGCGCUCGCUGCGGCGGAUCGAUUUUAUAAAAAUAAAUAAAAUUAAAAUAAUAAAAUAUAAAUAAAAGAAAUUAAAGAAAAACAAUAGCUGCUAUAAUAAAAGCAUAAGAAUAAAAAUAUACAAAGAAAAAAAAUAUAAAAAUUAUAAAUUAUAUUUAUAAUAGCAAUAACAGUUGAGAAUUAAAAUAUCAUAUAUCUAAUUAAAAUAUGAGUUUGAAAGCGUCACAUACUUUAUAAUUUGAGCAAGAAAAUAUUGCCCAUUAAAUUUGAGGACUAAAUUAUCACGCGUCUUAUAAUUUUAGGAUCAAUAGUGUAAUUUAUUCUUUUUAUAUUUUAAUUUUAUUCUAAAUGAAGACCGUUGGUCUGUUUUGUUCAAUCAGUAAUUUUAUCAAAAAAAAAAAAAUUGUUAAGCCAUCUAAUAAAUUUUAAUAUUAGAUUUGAGUCAAUUACUAAUGCUUUUACUUUAAAAUUUGAAUGCUUCUUUUAGCUUUAUAGAUUUAGUUACUAUACUUUAUGUAAUCUUUGUAACUAAAUUUAUUAAAAUAAAUAAUUAAUUUAAACCUCAUCAAAUUUUUUUUUAUUUAUUUUUGAGUAUAUAAUCUAUAUGUAAUUGAUUAAUAUUAUAAAACUAAAUUUUUUAUUUAAUAAUGUAAUCUAAACUAUUUAAAAGUAUAUAUAAAUAAAGUCUGGUUGGGAUUCUAUCGAUAACACCAAACGUUGGGUGCUAUUAAGUUUUUCACCGUUAGAAUUAAGUCUGUGACUAUUUUUAUCCGUUAGAUUAUACUAUUAAAUCAAUAACUUACUCAACCCUAAAGGGCUCACAUCAUCUUAACCAUAUAUUUUUUCAUCCAAGGGCCGAAAAUCUAAUAGCACAAAUAAUUUGAUACUAUUAGUAGCAUUCCAGCAUAGUUCGUAUGAAUAUUUAUAUAUUUUAUUUUUCUAUAAUAAAAGAGAAAAAAAUUAAAUUGAAUUAAAAAAUAAAGUCUAACUUUAUAAUGAAAGAAGAAAAUUAAAUUAAAAAAUUUUAAAAAAACCAUUUCUAGUGGGCCCUACACACUCCCAAACCCACCGUCCCACUCCCCCUCCUCCUGCACGAAAAAUUCUAAAAUGCAACAGGUGUAUUAGUGAUGUGGCGUAAUAAACCAAUCAAAUGUAUCAUUUUAAGAGUAUCUGUCCAAUCAUGAUUCAUGAUUGUAAAAAAAUAUUUUUAUUGUACUCUUUGUUUGAAAAGAAGGAAUGUGAUUGGCUUGUUAUUGAUGACAUUGUGCAAGUGUGACAGUGUAGAAUUCCUCCUGCACGCGCUCCCCCGCCACGUGGCAUCCGACUCUCAAUUCAUGAUAUUUAAUUUAAUAGAUAGAGAGAGAGAGAGUUGAGCUGAAAUAUUAUUAAUAAUAUUUAAACUGUUUUGUUAUAAAUUUUUUAGCUGUUAGAUCUAUACUUUAAUCAAUUUUAUCUUUUAAAUCAUACUAUUCAACCAGCUAUCCACUUAAAUCUUAGGGGGACCACUACUAAACCCUAGGGAUCACUAUUAUUCUAAUCUUAUUAUUUUUAAUCUGAUAAUUAAAAAUUCGAUAGCAAAAGAGUCUAAAUACUUUUAAUAGUAUUUCAGCCUAAUUUUCUCUCUCUCUCCUCUCUCUCUUCUCUCUAUAUUAUAUAUAUAUAUAUAUAUAUAUGGGUCCGGCUACUAUACUAUUAUGAGUACGAUCGCCUUCGUACUCAUAAGUUGUUUUCGAUGAUAGAUCUUCCGAAUCGACGAUCCACACCGUUAAACGUCAUUUUACAGCAUUUAAAACUUCCUAGAAAUCAAUUUAUAAUUUUCGACGUCAUUUACCUUACCAAACGAUCAAGAGGUCACAAAUUUGACAAUUUUUAACGGCCGGUAUGGGAUACUUGCUAGUUUAACGGUGUAAAAGAAUCGAAAUUUGUUGAAUAUUUGAUAAAAAAUUUUAUUCAAUACAUAUAUAAAGAUCAAUAACUCCGAUCUUGAAUUGAAGGAUCCGAUCAUCCUUUUUAGGACGUCGUUCGAUUUUGACCGUUCAUUUUAUACCCACUUGAUGGACUUUAUUAUAAUUUCGAAAAUUUACGAAAUUUAUUUUCUAGAAGUUUCAAAUACUCUAGAUCAUAUUUAACGGAGUGGAUCGUCGAUUUGGAAGCUCCAUCAUUGAAAACAACUUAUGAGUAUGAGGGCUCCAAUACUCAUAAUAGUAUAGUAGCCAUGGCCUAUAUAUAUAUAUACACAUAUAUAUAUAUAUGCUAAAUUAUGAGCCGUUACUAAUUGGAUAGCAUAGUUUUUCCUUUUUUUUAAUUAGUGGCGGAUUUCUUUUUCUAAAAAGAAGGAUAAACUUUAAUUUGCCUCGGUGUAAUGUUUUUCUUUUUAGAGAAACAGAUGGUUCAAAAGAUCUUCUGUUCGCUUUAUUUAUUAAGCAAAUAAAUUAGGCAAUAGAAACUGAGUCAACUAGGCUUCCGCAUAGUUGAUUUUACUUUAAAAAGUUAAAAUUAACUAUCCUAUUAUUUAGUGUGUUUUUUUACUUUACUAUCUUGUUAUUAAAAGAGUUACAAUAAAUUAUCCAGUAAUUUUAUUUUUAUUUUAGUGUAAGGACCCGAGGUUAAACUAUUCUGUAGUUUUUUUUUUCAGUGAAUAAAGUAUAGAAUAGUUAAACACAACUUUUUGAAUCAAAGACCGACUAUCUCUAAAGCAAGUGGCAAAAGGCUUGGUGAUUGGUACCCGAGAUCCAAGUUCGAAUCCUAGUUGAUUUACAUUUUUAGCUAAAUUUAUUUCUAAAUGAAAUAAAUGAAGCGAGUAGCGUGCUACCUAUUUCUCAAAAAAAAAACCUUUUUGAAUCAAAGCGGCUAAAAAUUCUUACCCAAACAGAGCUUUGGAUUUUAGUUCUUCUUUGGGCUGCAUGUUCACUUGCUCUGGGCUCUUAUGGGGGGACCAAUUUCUCUUUAAAUUGUUGAAUUUACAUGGGCUUGGUAUAAUGUAGCCUCUAUAUUAGUAGAGGUUUGGUUAGGUUACUGGGGUUGUCAAUUUUUGUAUUUUCAAAUUUUCAAAACGUUUUUGGUGUCACAUUGAAGGAGAGAUUCAUUAGUUAAUUUGCUAAGAGCCUGUUUAGAUGUUUCUUUUUUUUUUACCCUUUGCAGGAUGUCAACAGAUCGGAUUCGGGACGGAUUUUUACAAAUCCGAACCUAACUCCAAACCCGAAACUCGAACCCGAUGAAUUUUAAAAAUUCAUAUCCAAAUCUGAACCCGACCAACAAUCCUACACCCGAACCCGAAAAUUCGAAUCCGAAACAAUUAUUUCUCUUUUCAAUAUUUCAAAAUAUAUUACAUUAAAUCUAAAAUUUGAAAAUACAAAUUCAAAUAUAACAUUAAAUUUUUAUAUAUAUAUAUAUAUGUAUAUAUAAUGUAAAAUAAAUACGGGUUCGGAUCCAGUACAAUCAAAAUCCAUAUCCGAAUUCAUAUCCGUUGGAUUUUUGUUUUUGAUAUCCAUAUUCGAAACCAUAUUCGUCUAGUAUCGGAUAAAUCCGUUCUGUUCGGAUUCAAGUUCGGAUAAAAUUUCGAGUGACACUCCUAUUUGCGCCGGUAGGAGAAUGAAGUAACCAUCACUCUUGUUUCAGAGUAUGUUCCUUCUUUGAGUUUCAUCUGCAAGACUGCAGCUUACUCUUAUCCAAACAAGUCUUAUUAGGGAAAAAAAAGUUAUUCCCAUGUCACUACUUAAAAUGGAAAUUUAAGAUGCAAUUAGCUAUAUGUUUGAGAUAGCUAUUUGAUGCUUCAUUAGGUGAUAAAUAAAAAGAAUAAAGGCACAUAAAAACAAAGGAAAUGUCAUAGUUAAAAAUUAGUAGAACUAAAGAGUAGAUAUGCACAGAGAGAGAGAGAGAGAGAGAGAGAGAGAGAGAGUACCCAAUAAGGAAAUGAUAUAAUAAGCCCAGAAAAAACUGAUGAAAAAGAUUUAUUGGGAAUAAUUCCAAACGUAAGACCGUUCUAUCCGUCAUUCGUACAAUUUUAAAUUUUCUGUUGUCCAUACGACGGACGGUGGAUGAAAUAGUCUCACAUUCGAGAUUUGUCUGCACUAAAUAUUUAUUUCAAAAUGUAGAUUAAGAUUAAAUAGCUCAUGUAAUACAUGCUUUAUUUGAACGAAAUAAUUUUCCUGUUUUUUUUUUUGUAUCAAAUACAAUUUUUGUUUUGGUUCAAAUUAACCUGACCUUUUAAUCAUCUUUUGCGUACAUAACCGAUGAAAUAUGAAUAAUAAUUUAGUAAUAAAACAACAAGUUUGAUAUUUUCCUGAUAAGAAACAGAGUUUGUAGUGCAAUUUGACCUCUUCUCUAUAAAAAACCUUUUCUACAAAUUUACCUCAAAAAAAAAAACUAUUUUUUCAUUCUAGUCCCUAAUCUUCUUUUUCACCAUUUAAGUUUCUAAUCUUUAGUGUAAUUUUAAUUUAACUCAUUGUCUUUAUAAUACCACUAGUUUUGAUGAAAAAUUGCCAUGUAGCGAGAUUCAAUUCUUAUAUAUUGUGCUCUGGAGCUCAACUGGACUGAUCGAUUGGACUAAAAUAAUUAUAGUUUAAUUUGAAAAAUAUCAUACUAAAAAAAUAGUCAAGUAAUUAAUCAGUAGAGCCAACAAGUGAUUCUGAUUAUAGAAGAAAAGUUAUUAUUAUUAUUAUUAUAUUAUUAUUAUUUUUAUAUAUGACUAAAAUAAAUUGUCUAUAAUUUUUUAAAAAUAUAUAUAUAUUUAAUAUACAUUAAUAAUUCGACUUCAAUCAAAAUUUAGGUGAAUUUCUAGAUCAUAAGCCUUUUUUAUUAUUGUUCUUUUGUCAAAAAAUUAUUAAUAUAAAUAUUAAUGUAAUAAAUAUUUGUCAUAUUUAUGGUAUUUCUUUUUAGAGUUAACUAGUAUAUGACUCGUGCGAUGCACAGCUAAUGUAAUAAUAUAAAAUAACAAAAGUUAUUAUAGGAUGAUAAAAGAAAAAUAUUUUAAUUAAUAUUAUAUUUUUUUUAACAAAUAAAGAAAUAUACUAUCAAUCUUAAUUAUAAUACAUAUUAAAUUACGAAAGCUAGAGAAACAAAAUUAUGGACCAAAAUAAAUACUCAGGUAAAGAGCAAAAUUAAACCAUGCUCUAUUAUCUAUGAAUUGGUGUGCAAAAUAAUUUGUUUAAUAGUAUUAUUAAUUAAGAUUGAUAGUAUAUUUGACAUUAAUAAUUAAGUAUAAUUUGAUUUAAUAAUGUUUCCUAAUAAAAUUCUAUUUUUAACCAUCUAAUUGCUAUAUUUGAGUUUGACAUGUGGCAAGUAUAUAGAAAGAUGCAUGAUAAACAUUUAAUUUGAUUUAAUUGUAUAUAUAAUUAUAAUUUAAUUUAACGGUGUUUAAUAGUGUUUACUAAUAAUAUUCUAGUUAAUUGUAUAUAUAAUUAUAUUUAAUUGGUAUAAUUUGAUUUAAUAGUGUUUCCUAAUAAAUAACCUAUUCUAUAUUUGUAGUGUUUCCUAGUAAAAUUCUAAUUUGUAUAAUUUAAUUUAAUUUGAUUUAAUAGUAUUUUCUAAUAAAAUUUUAUUUUUAAUCAUCUAAUUGCUAUAUUUGUGUUUGAUAUGUGGCAAGUAUAUAGAAAGAUGCAUGAUAAACAUUUAAUUUAAUUUAAUUUGAUUUAAUUGUAUAUAUAAUUAUAAUUUGAUUUAAUAGUGUUUAAUUGUGCUUUAUAAUAAAAUUCUAGUUAAUUGUAUAUAUAAUUAUAUUUAAUUGGUAUAAUUUGAUUUAAUUUGAUUUAAUAGUCUUUCCUAAUAAAAUUGAUAUUCUAUUUAUAGUGUUUCAUAAUAAAAUUCUAGUUAAUUGUAUAUAUAAUUAUAUUUAAUUGGUAUAAUUUGAUUUAAUAGUGUUUACUAAUAAAAUUGCUUUUCUAUAUUUAAGUUUGACGCGUGGCAAUCAUAUAAAAAGAUACGUAUCAGUUUUACAUCAAGAGUUCUACUUUAGUAUAUAGUAAAAUUGAGUUUGACACGUGGCAAGUAUAUAGAAAGAUACGUGUCAGUUUUACACCAAGAGUUCUACUUUAGUAUAUAGUAAAUAUAGUAAAUAAAUAGUUUUUUCAACGACCUAUACUGAUAUACAUUAUCUAAUAAAUAAAUACUAAAAAUUAAGGACCGGAUUGCAAAAAAAAAAAAAAAAAAAAUGAAUCGAGGACCCAAAAAAACACGAAUGAAGGUUAGGGACCAACAAGGCAAUUAACCCUUUAAAAUCCGUCGCUUCUCUUCUUCCUUCCUCGCUUCUUUCGCAGCGCAAACGAUGUCGGAGAACCCCUUGGAGCCCCUCCUCAAAACCCUAGACUCAAUCUCGCGCUGCGUCCAAACUCACCUCUCCCGCGUCUUCGUCGCCCCCCAAAACGCUUCUCCAAAACCCACGCUGCUUCGUCCCCUCUUAUCCUUCUCGCCGACUCCCGUGGCUCCGGAUUCUACCACUUCACCCAUAAAGGUGCGCCCUUUGCUUCUCUUUUGCGUCCAAAGAAGAGGUGUUGAGCGCUUAUGGAUUUGGGUUUUACGAGGUCUGUGUGUUUGGGGCUUUGUUUAGGAGAAAAAGGCGGCGCCUUUAACGAAGGAGGAGCUCGGGAGGGCGACGUGGACUCUGCUCCACAGCAUUGCGGCCCAGGUGUUUGGUUUUUUGCCUCUGUGAUGAUCUUGUGCUUUCUCAUGUUUUUUCCCUGAAAGUUACCUUGUCAUUUCGUAGUGAGUUCCUUUUUGUUGGUGAAAGAGGAGUAACUUUGUCUGAUAUUAGCCUUUGGAGGUAGAAAUGACGUAACCUUGUGUCAAUUUAAUCUUUGUAUUGUUUAAAAUGCUGUUGGAAAUGUUGAUUAUAAGAAACUGAGUGUCAAACAAGUGAUUAAUCUAAAAGUACAAGCUCUUAGCGAGUGGUGUUUUAAUAAUUUAUAUUCAACACUUCUCAUUGUAUCUAGGCUCAAGACAUUUUGAUAGGCCAAGAUGCAGGCUACAAUUAAAUGGAGGGAAAGUAAUUGCGACCUGCUCUGAUACCAUAUAAGACAACCAAUUACUCUAAAAAGUUAAGCUAUCAGAUAACAUUGUUUUAAUAUUUUAUGUUCAACACUGAGCUGGCCCAUUGAUACUUUUUUUGGCUUGCUUUCGAAUAGGUAUUAGCAAUAGAUACUUAAUUAGGAUGUUUUCCUUUAUUAUCUUCUCGUGCAUGAUGGGGAUGUUAUGAUUGUUAAGAAUGUUAGUCCCAGAGUGUGAGACUUGAAGAUUUGAAAUAGUUCUAUAUAUAAGAUAUAAUAGAACUAAAUUUUUUAAUCCGGAUAUAGCAUUUUGGACUGUGGCUAGGUUCAAAAGAUUAAAGGAGUCAAGCGUGCUAGGGUUAGAGUAGUCUUAAGAUGCGUGACCCCCUGAGAAGUGGGGCGUCAUAGUUGGUAUAAGAACUAACUACCAGCCGGAAGUAUGAGAUGAGUCUCGGUUGAGCCAAGUUAUACAGUGGACAGAAUGAGACUCUCUGGCCGAUGACUGUUGUGCGUGGAGCGCGGCUUCUUAUAAGGUCGACUAAGGCUAGCGAGAUGAGUCUCACAUUGUCUGGUACUUGUGAGUGUGCUUAAGCCUGAUGAGGACGUCAGAGUUUAAAAGAGAGAAGAAUGUGAGACCCCAGGAUUUGGAAUAAGACUAAAUUUCUUAACCCGGCUGUAGCAUUUUGGACGGUGGCUAAGCCCAAAAGGUUAAGAGAGUUAAGAGUGCUAGGAUUAGAGUAGUUCUAUAAUGGGUGAUCCCCUGGGAAGUGGGACGUCACACAGAGGGCAUCCAGUGUGAACGACAGCCCCAGAAUCUAGUCCCAAAGAGGGCUUUGACAUGGUGCCAGAGUCAGCUUAAGUAUGAAAGGCACCUAGUAAUUGUUGGUUGAAUAAUUAAGUUUCUUAAAUUAAGGCUGAAAUUCAUUAUUCUGAUCUGUUUAACCAAAUCUAAAUUUCGACUAGGUUGCGGGCAUGCAACAAGCACCUAUGUUUGGCUUCGGGAGUUGACUAAACUUGGUUUAUUAUAUUUAUUUUGACCCAUGUGUCACACAUUUAUUGGCUAGAAGAAAUGAUUUUGCUUUCUUCUAGCUGGAAACAGCAUUUAUUAGCCAUAUGUAGUGUGAGCAGCUUUAUGGAGUUGAGAUUUCUGCUGAAACCAACGAUAAUAGACAGAAUAUUCUUGUAAGUUAAGUUUUCAUACUAGAUUUUUUUCUGUUGAACUACUUUCACAAGUCUGCUACUUGUUCUGCUAGCUAUCAAAUUAAGGGCUUACCUUGGUGUAUAUCAUUCUCCUUUGGACACAGCACAUUGAUUUUCUGUAUCUUGUUUAAUACUUUUUCAGUAUCCUGAUCACCCAACAAGGCAGCAGAAAAGAGACGUGAAAGAAUUGGUAUGCAGCAAUGUCAUUUUCAUUUGCUAAAUUAUAUUGUUUAAUACCCGAUUGCAGCCAAUGGUGUCCAUUUCGUUUUGAUUAGAUUUUUCCAUGUUGGGACCAUGCACUAUGCAACAAUUGUACCCUAGGGCGUUGAAGACUUGAAGUUGAUUUUGUAGUUGCUCCAUGUAAAUUGCUAGAUUUAAUGAAAUAUGAUGAUAAGGUAGUGGUAGAUUUCUGCAGAAACAUUGGAAAUCUCUUUUGCUGCGAUAGCUAUUAAUGGAUAAUAUAUUACAUGUUUUGUAAAUCGAAAUAUGAUAAAUAUGUUUCUUUUUUAAGUAUUGUUGCUCAGUUCUUUGAUUUUUUGUAUUAUUGUCUCUCACUAUAUUAAUUCGUAAUAUGUGACAAUUUUUUUUUUUUUGGGUAUAUAUUGUCGCUAAUCAGAUCGUUUUUUAGAUCUAAAAAAGACAAGCUUGAUUUCUACUUCAUGUUUUUUUUCUCUUCUUGCAAUAGUUCAUUAACCUUUGGUUCAUUCAACAAUGGAGUCUCAUAUUUUGAUCAAAUUAGACAUGAGAAUAACACAGGUCUUGGGUUUGUGCACGCAGAUGGCUAUAAUAUCUCGACUUUACCCUUGUAAAGAAUGUGCCGAUCAUUUUAAGGAAGUGUUGAAGUAAGUAUAUUAAUUACCUUCAUAGGACUUGCUUGCUAAAUUGUUAUCGCAACCCCUGUUCUGUACAAAAAAGUCAAAAUGCCAACAUUAUCAAUGUUUUUGAAGUGCUCUUGGGGUCUCUGAAGUUUCUUGGGUUUGAACCUCCCAAUUACAGUUGUUUGAUUUUGGUCGGGUUCCAUUAGACUUAGUAGUUUCAGUUACUUAAUAUUCGAAAAUAACAGAAUAUUCUGGUAAAUUCCGGAAUAUCCUGUCAAAAAUGUUUUAAGAAAGUUGGUCUCACCAAAGCUGACUAAAACCAUUUAGUAUAGUGGGGCGUUCAAAGCCAAAUAUAUUGAAGUCCAGGGAUCUGCUUUUAGAACACCUAGAGCUAUAGUUGGCUUGUAUUGGCUUAGAGAUUAUUUUUGGUGUGCACGUAUUACAUGAAAGAAUAAAGGGUAAACAUACAGCCAUUUGCUGUGUUGUGUUUUGGCAGAGCGAAUCCCGUACAAGCAGGAUCACAAGCUGAAUUCUCUCAAUGGCUAUGUCAUGUACACAAUGUGGUUAAUCGAAGGUAAAUUUAAUCCUCUCCGACACUGUACCUCUACUGUCCAUCUGUUUUUCAUUUUACUCACAGGAAGCAGAUUGAGUCAUUUUUCAGUAUUAAAAAGAGUUCAUCAUUUUUCUGACAUAUGUUUUUGGGUGAUAUUUAUAGCCUAGGGAAAGUGAUAUUUCCCUGUCAGAGAGUGAACGCUCGAUGGGGUAAGUUGGAUUGUAAGGAUCGGUCCUGUGAUUUGGAAGGCACUGUCGACAUCAAAACUUUAACUUCCCACACCUGAUGUAUCACAAAGGAUCAUUUUGAGUAGUGCGAUAUCUUUCUACAUCAAGGAAGAAAAGGAAAUACUAAAGUUCACUCUCUCUUGUUUUACCAUUUUUGUAGUCAAUUUGAAGUAAAGUUUAGAUGGACAUAAUGAUGCUCAUUGUACAGCAGUGCAAACCAUCGUGAAGGCAAAAAAGUAGUAAAAUGAUUAGAUUUUUAACUAUGGAUGAUUGUCAUUGAACCGUAUGCUAUAUGCAUUUUGAGACUGUGACAUGGCAUGUAUUGACGUAAGCUAUAUUAUGUAUAUUUGUCAAUUAUUGUCCGUUAAAUGAUUAGAAAAAAUUGGUUGGGUCAAUGCAGUUGUUAUGUUCGAACUGAAUCUUCAAUCUUGUGCAUGGCUUGGAUGAAAUCUGGUGAAUAAGGUUAUGCUGUAAUUGUGAAGUAGGUUAUGAGAAUAUGUAGUUGCUUAAGCGUUUUCACAAUGCCCAGAAUUGUAUGACUUGGUUUUCAACUGAAGCUAGUAAGUAACCUGGAAACAUUACUGUUUUUUUUUUCCCUGUCGUUUUGCUUCUAACUUUUUAAGGAACUCAUGAGGUGGAAUUCACAAUCCAGUAUAAAGCCCCCCUUUUUUCUGGCUAAAUUUUGAAAUGCACUUUGCCUACUAGAUAGCAAACCAUGCGUGUAUUGCCUUUUUUUUUUCUCUCUCUCUCUCUUUUUUUUUUUUUUUUUUUUUUUUUUUUUUUAAGGUGCUGUGCUUUUAUGAACAUCCCUUAUGCUCAUGAUAGAACAUUCGUACCGAUGAUUAAUAUCGUAAAAUAUAAUCUAAAAGAUUUAAGAUACAAACUAACUAAAAUUUGUCUUUUUGACAUUGUCUACAUUAUGAAAUGCACCUUAAAGUCGGUAAUUUUAAUGGCCAAAAUGAAUUAUUUUGGCAUUCAACAGUGUAAAGCAAUUAAAAUCAGUGAAAUUUUAGUCGAUAGUAUUUUUUCAUUGUUUAGAUUUAGAUCAAUAAGCUAACGCUUAUAACUCACUCUUAAGUUGAAAACUAUAUUUUCUACUUCCACAAAGCUGUUCAAUAUUAAACAUUUUAUUCUUUGACCCGUCAUUUUUAAAAUUGAUCAUCCAUAUCAUUAAGAAUAAGUACUUGGAACAUGUAGAAAUUGACUUUUUGCAUUUUUUUUUCCUCUCAAAUUUAUUCUCUGGAGUAGCAAAAGAUCACAGAAUCAAUGGUGAAAAUUAAACAACCUGAAAAACCCUAGCAUUUGUUUGGUUGGGGGUUAGGGGUGGAAUAACCCCUUAAUCCCCCAUAUUAUUUCCAAACAUUCCAAAAAUAGGUGGGGUUAACUAACCCAACCUCAAAUGAGCUAUUCUGGAUUAGCUAAUCCUAUCUAACCUCACCAAAUCCCAACCAAACACUAUUUUCUAUUCAUAAGAACCCACUAUCUUUCUUAUCCCACCUACUCCAACCAAACAUUAUUUUUUACUAUCCUGAACUAACUCCAAUCCUCAACCAAACACAAAAAUACUCUAAUUCCACCUUAACCCUGAAUUUAACUCUAUCUUUGAAAUAACUAAUUUUUCUUAAUUCCGAAUGAAACGGUAGCUUAAGAUCAAGAAAAUAUUGAUUCGAUAUUUAAAAUCAACAAUAUAUUCAUUUUCUUCACCCAUUGUUGCAACAUGAAAGUGCUGUCCUAUGACUCCUAUCAGUCAUACUUUUUUAGGAUAUUAUAUUAACUUACAACAAAAUUUAUCUUAUUUUAAUAAAAUGACUCAGCAAUUUGUAUACAGACAAGACAUGCGUGUACAAUUAAUGUCUCAUCUACCAAUUAUUGUAUCACCCUUGAAAAAAUAAAAAAGAUGUGUCGAUUUAAAUGUUCGUGCAUCCGGACAAGUAAUUUUGUGGCCAAGCAGAGAAGAUCUAAAUCCUUUUUUUGAGUUUUCUCAAAAUGUCUGAUUUUGUCUGAAGAACACAGAACAGAGUUUAAGCUUGUUCCAAAAUAACACCUACAACAAGAAAAGCUAAAAAACCAUGAGCAUUAUAUGAUCUCAUCUUGCUUUACAGCUUAAUAAGCCAAAAGACUUGCUCUAACUCUCACCCCUGUUAAAGAUCGAAAAAUGUACAUCAAUCCAGUUUCCGGUCAAAAGAAAACAUAAGAAAAGAUGGCCGUUAUUUUAAGAUUUUGCAGAGCCACCCUUGUUUUGCAAACUACAUAAUUCAACGCCAUCAAGCGAUCGGAAAGGCGGUCUCUGUCCAAACUUCAACAGAUGCGCGGCUUCAUAAACGGGUUGCAACUGCUGAAUCAACUGAACAUCUAGAUAUGCUUCACAUGCGAAGCACCAGACUGACAAAUCACUGUAAAAGAUCAAUUUAGUUAGAGAAAUAUAUAUGUACUAGUUCAACAAUUAAAAACUAAAAACAAAUUAAUUCUUUUAUAGAAAAGAUUGCACGGUUUGUUGUACCUGAAGCUAAGAGCAAGACAGUGGCCAGUUUCUUGAUGAUGAUUAAGCAUAUGUUUGUUGAUAAAGCGGCUGCAUAGGACCUCUUUGCAGCUCAAGCAUAGCCAGUUCUCAGCAGGAUGGUGGCAUCUGACGAGUACAGAUAUGCUUUCAUGAGAGGAAUAAUAAUAGGGUUUUACAGUCUCAAGGGUCAACCGCAAAUAAAAUUUUCAAUUUUUGAUUAUUUAUAGAAAAUCUGUAUCUUUUAUCCAAAGCUGUAAAUGAAUUAACAGAAUUUUACAAGUGUCACCAGCCCUCUAAAAAUUCGUGUCAUUGCACACGGGAUAAAGUUCUUUAAAGACAGAAUAAUCCAGCCAUAAAUAACAACUCAUCAUUGCAGAAAAGAAAAAUCGAGCAAAUCAAUAUCAAUGCUUAAAGAUGUCUGACAAUUAAAUCAAACCAAAAUUGAACAAUCAAUAUCUCAAAGGGCUUGUUGUGAGAACUUUCGUUAUCAGAUGAACAGCUGAGUAAAAUUCUGACGGCAAAAUACAGAUAUGCUGAAUCAGAGAUGAACUUAAUUAGGUUUAACAUAUAUAAGAAGACAAAGCUGCAAGAUAUUUUGGAAAAUUCAGAUGUAUACAAACAUGUAAGGAUGUCUUAGAAAGUAGAUCAGAAAAGUGAAAACAAAUGAUAAGAUUGGUCUAUUCAACUUUCAAAUUCAUUUCCAAGGCAAUAAAUGACUAAAAGUAGGUUCUUUAUCUUCUGCAAUAGCCAUUGUCAUACGUAGGGAUAUCACUUUGCAGGGUCAGGCGAAACCAGAUUAUGUCCAAUUGAGGCUCAAGGUCUAAUCCGCAGGAUUGAACCCAGACCAGCCCCAACCAAACUCAAAUAGCCUUGACCAUACAUUACUCAGGUCCCCAUUCCUUUUCCCUUCUUAUUUUUUCCAUGAAAUUCCCACCCAGAUUAAGCAUAAAUUUAAACAGAAUGGCAUAAUUUGUGACGCGCCAGUCAAGCUGGUCAGCCCACAAUGGCGGUUGCGUCCUUGGACAACAUCCUUGGUUGCAUGAGCUAACAAGGAGCAGCAUAUAGAAAGGAUAAAUGUUCCUGAAUCAAUAACAAUCUUUCUUCAAAAUAACAGAAUAAGCCACCUUCUUUCCAAAUAUACUAUAUACCAAUUAGAAAUACUUCUAAUACGUGCCAAAGAAAUGUAGAAAGAUGACUUAAUUCUAUGGCUAUUUGUAUAGUACCACGCAAGAAAACAAUAAAGAUAAAAGAAAGAAAUCAUAUUACCUAGUUUUCAUAAAAUGUGGCAGGAUUUUGAUCAAGAAAUGUUGAUGAACUUUGCUUAAAUAGUAUCAUACUUCUUUUAGGAGGAUACAAGUAAAGUCGAUGCUGAGACAUGAUUAGACAAUCCCCAAUCCCCUUUUCACUGGUACUGGACAGGACUUGACACUUCUAUUUCUUCCAAAGAAUUCCACUUUAAAAGACACAAUCUUACACUAUCAUGUCCAUAUCCUCACCAAAACUAUGCACCUUAUACUGUAUCACUUGUCUUUUGGCAUUACUUUGAUAAUGUUAGCUACAAUGCUUAGAAUAACUGCAACAAGAGCACAUGAUCCAGAAUUCUAGCUUUAGCCACCAGCGAGUGGCAACCACUAAUGAGUAAACAAUACAGAAAUUGGACAACACGGCUAUUGAAUCACCAACAUCUAGUUCUCCAACUUUGAACUCAUCUAUAAUUUUUUCCAUGAAGAACAAGGGCAUGGCAGCAUGAAGUUCAGGUAGGGGUUCUUCUCAAAUAGAUUCAAUGGUCAUCACUGAUAUGUUUCUUCACAAAAUGGUUAUUCUGAUAAUUAUAGACCGCCAUCUAAUAUUGCACAAAAACAAUAAAUAAUCACCUUUCUUCCAAUUACACGCAAUGCUUCUGAAUUUCUUUUCCGAUUUCGAUGUACUCCAUUACCAGAUUCAUGAUCUAUACCUCAUCAAAAUAGUGAAAUCGGGAAAAAUUCAAAUUGCCUAACGGUGGCAUGGCGUAUAAUGAAACUUAACCAUGCUGAGGUUGCUAUGUCGAUUGCCUGAUAAGAACUUCUGCUAAAUGCAGUAAAAAUUGAGCAAACGACAAUCACAUAGCCGGUUUAAAACUACAUAAACUAAGUUUUUGUUAUUUAACCUUAUUGAUUCUCAUGAAUCACAUGAUUAAUUAAGCACGUGAUUGUCAUGUGCUCAAUUUUAACCUCAUUUCAGCAACAAGUCCUCACAGGCUACCGAAACAGCAAAUUUGGGCUGGUAAAGUAUUACAGUCUUAACCAUGGCUAUUAAAGUGGCAAUACACACAGAGGUAUCAAACAUUUUCCAUUUCAAGGAAUAAAAUUUACAAAGCUAGAAAUAUAAAGUAGAUACAACAAAGAAUAGGAAUUGCAGAAACUUCUCUCAUGGGCUCAUUAGACGCAAGCAUCCAUCAUAGUAAGUUAGGAUAUUCCAGCUAAAAGAUCGAAAGGGCAAACGAAACACUAGAAAUAACACUCCAAUCUUCACAACGAAUCUUUUGGUCCGCCUUAUUCCGCAUUGUUACUGUUCUUUUUUUUCCCAUUCCAAACAAGAAUUCCAUGUAGUCGAAUGUAUUAAUAGGUGAACUUCUCAACCGAUCUUGCAAUGCAAUCACGCCAAAUACUAAAAGGCAUCUUCUUUAGAAACAUAUAGGCAAAAAAAAAAAGGUUCUCAUUUUUUUUUUUUUUCCUUUUUUCUCCUUCUGUUGCCAAAAAGCAAAUCCACUAUCCACCCUAACACUCUACUGCAUAGAAUUUGCUUUAAAAAAACAUAAAAAAUAAAAGAUGACAACAAUAUUAAACAAGGAUUUACUAUCAUUUUCCCUCUAUUGCGUGACAUCUACUUGGAGAUCCAGUGCUCACAAAACGUCACAAUUACCCAAACAAAUUCGUUCUAAAAGAACAAACAAAAAAGGGGGAAUUGAUUCAUAACCUGAAGCAAGGGGAAUCGGGAGGAGGGAUGUGGACCAGAUCGGAGGCCAAGGAGGCGAGAUGAUCGCACGACGAUCGAGCUUCGACCCAUCCCGAUUCGGCACCAUACAGCUCCCCCAACUCUUCCUCCUCCUCCUCCUGAGAUCGAGAUUUUAGGGUUAGGGUUUCAAAACUGGAGGAGAUGAGAAGUGUUAGGGUUUGAUUACGUACGAAUCGAGACGACGACGUGCCCUCGUUCGCCAUUAACGACAACGAACUGACGAAGUGCGCGGAGCUUCUGGGUUCAGAAAUUAAUAAGGAUUUUUAUUAGGGGUUUAAAAGUAAAGUUGAACAGUAAUUGCACAUAUAUACCUUACAGUUUUAAAAUUAUGAAUUUUUUCGUUGGAGUUACAAUUAUCAAAUACAUUCAUCUAAAAUUUUUUUUAAAAUAAUUUAUUAUUUUGAGCAAACUUGUAAAUUCCACCGUGAGAAUCCUUUUAAACGCAAUAUGCAGAGAAUAGGACUCAACGUUUUUUCGACAAAUCUUUUAAGGAAGCUUCUUAUUCUAGAUAAUCUUGUAAAAAGAUGUUAGACUCGCAACACAACUUGUGUGUUGUGUGGAGUUGAAGAGAAAAAUAUGAACCAUCUAUUUUUACGGUGUGUUUUUAUUUGAUUUCUUAUAGUGAUGUCCGUAGAGAAUGCCAAUAGUAGGGAUUUGGAUGGCGACGUGGUUUCUGUUUGGAAUAGGUGGAUGGUCGGGAAUGGACAACGACCACCUCAUGAUAGUUUGGCUGGUUUAAUAACUUGCUGCUCAGUUAUUUGGCAGGUUAGGAACGAUACGAUCUUUCGCAACAUCCGAUCAAACCCCAUGUUGUUAAUCUCCAAGAUGAAACUGUUGACGAACUCUUGGGAACAAGUCUUCUCUCGGUUAGCCGAGUCUAGUUUUUUAUUUUUGUUGUCAUGUGACUCAUGUCAUGUCGUGUUGUGUCGUAUCUCAUUGGAGGCCAAGAAUAUUUUACCGAUAUAGUUUAAUUCAUAUAUCCAAUGAUCUAAAAGCAAAAAAAAAAAUUUAUCUGACUAAUUAAUACUAGUCAAUUUAUUGCUAAUAUUUAAUAUUUAAUUAUUUAUUUUUAAAAUAUAAUUUUUCAAAUUAUUUUUUAAAAAAAGAUUAACAUUUACUGUUAGAAUAGAGACAAUGAUAAUAAAAAAAAUUAUUAAAAAAUACCUACUGAAAUCCAACUUAACUGAACAGAAAAAAAAUUAUAUAUAUUAUUCAAUUUUCUGCAAAAGUUUCAAAAUAUAUUUAAUAAUUAAAACUUUUGGGGAGUCUCUCUGUAAUUUUGAUAGUUUAGUGAUAUGCGCGCAAUUUACUUCUCAAAAGAGUAAAAACCGGAUCCGAUAUAAAACGGAUCCGUAACGAUGACCCACUCGUCGUUUGGAUCGGGUUAACUCCAAAUUAGGGUUUUUUUUGCUUCGCAUAUAAAUGCGAACCGAACCCUUCCCUCCGCCGCACUUUCCUCAUCCCCGAGAGUUCGAUUCUAGGGUUUUCUCUACGAUCCAGAGCGAGAAUUUAGUGAAAGAUGGGGCACUCUAAUGUAUGGAACUCCCACCCUAAGAACUAUGGCCCAGGAUCUCGAGUUUGGUAAGUGAAUCCUCGUCCCCAAUCUUCUUUUCUAUCGAUUCAUCGCCUAAUUAAUGUUCUUUUUUUCCCUGGAUCUCGAGUUUGGUAAGUGAAUCCUCGUCCCCAAUCUUCUUUUCUAUCGAUUCAUCGCCUAAUUAAUGUUCUUUUUUCUUUUCUUUUUUUUUUUUUUUCCUUUGGUGAUUCUAUAUGAUUUUAGAGUUAGGAAUCAUUGGAAACGCGGUGAAGUUGCGAACUUGGAGAUUUGUUAGGGCUUUGGGGUUGUUUGUGUGCUAUAUAGUUUAUGCCUUUGAAAUGUUUUAUAUUUUGUCUCUCGUGAUGUUAUAUUUAGAUAGAGCCAUAGGUGAUUAAGAACUUGCUUAAAAAAACCCCUUUUUUGGGAUUUUUUUGGUUCCGAUAUCGGGUUCUCCUGCACCUGAUAAUGUUUCCUUAAAUGAGAUAUCUCUUAUUGCAAAGUUUUUUUUUUAAAAAAAACCUUUUGAAAAAAAUCAUCUGGUUCUUUGUUGGAGUUUUUUUUAAAUAUGGAAUCUAAAGUCAUUAAAAAUCUUGUAAAAGGAAAAAGUGAAUUUGAUCAACUGGGAUUUUAUUUAAUAAGGUUUUAGUAUUGAGAAGCUAGCUGAACUAUACAUUUUUUCAGUUGAAUUGUUUGGUUUAGUCUUUUGAUUGUUAGAGUCUGCUUGGAUGCGUGAAUAUCUUGUUUGGCGUAUAUCUUUUGUGUACUCGAGGGUCGUAUGGUAAUAAAGUUGAUUUGGAGUGCAAAUACCUAUAUCUGCAAUUGCAUAGUAUAUAGUGCACUCUUUGAAACCAAUAGAAAGAGGGAAGGAAAAAAGAGAAAAGAAAAGGAGUAAAAGAAACUGAAUUUCUCUUCAGUUGUUUGGAUGCACAUAAAGAAAGAGAUGAUCUUUCUAUAAUUUGUUUUCUCUCUCACAAAGUUAACAGGAAACAUGCAAAAACAUUUCUUUCCUACUUGUCUUUCUCUCCUUUUCUCUCCUUCAAAGAGGGAGCUAGCGAAGGAGGUGAAUUUUGCAUCAAUGACUAUUUUUAACUUUUUCUCUCGUUGAUCUUGCGCCUUUUUUUUUCCUUUUUUUUUUUUUCUAUUCUGCAUGCAGCCGGGUUUGUGGGAACCCCCACGGAAUGAUUCGGAAGUAUGGGCUUAUGUGUUGCAGGCAGUGCUUCCGUAGCCAUGCCAAGGAUAUUGGCUUUAUUAAGGUAAAUAUCUAAUGAACCUUUUUUAUUCUGCUUAUGUGUGGAGGUUACUUCUUUUUUACUGUGUGGAUUAUACGUGGUGGAUAUGAAUCUUUAGCAAGAUCGAGUGCCCUCCGACAGUUGGUAUGAUGUUUUGAACUUGUUAAAUUGUCUGCUGUUAUAAAUGGCCAGAAACCUUGAUAUUUUUGAACCUGACUAAAUCUGAAACUGAACUGUAUCAUCUGGAGUGGUUUUUUAUCAGCUUUUUUAACUAUAUUGGAUUCAAUUUACGCCAAUGAUGUUUAUGGCUUAGCAACCCUGCAAGUUUGUAUGACUACUUGUAGAUGAAUGAUUUUCAGGCAACAAGAUUCUUUUUCACACUGAUUUAUCCAUUUUUCGUGCCGUAAUAGUUAACAUAUGUGGUGUCUAUUAGAGUAAAAGGAGAGUAGCUAGUGCGAAACCGCAGUAUUGUCCCAGUGCAUCGGGUCUGCCCCCAAUCUGGGUUUUGUGGAAUCUCAGAUGCGCAAAAUUUGCUCUUGAACUUCCAUUUUGUUCCUUAGUUAUAAUUGGACCAAAUGAUGAACUACUAACUGAUCAUGUUUUGUAUCUCAAUGGUCACGUGCACCAUUUCAAAAUUUAAUAUAUGCUGUAGCUAUCUCACUGGUGAUAUUAUAGAACAAAGAUAUAAAUGUUACCCUUGAUAAGUAUUGUGGCCUGGGCCAAUUAAUCCUUUUGGAAAUUUUAGAUCAGUGCAAGUAGUAAUCCUGCUGCUUUCAAUCCUAUAUUACUUUUCCACUAUUUUUCUGUCCUUUGCCUUGAAAUUUCCUUUUUAGCAGAGGUAAUGUGAGCAAGAACUGAACUUUUAUGGCUUUUUCUUUUUUAUAGUACCGCUGAGCAUAGUUCGCGGUGAUUACCAUCAACUGGACAUGUGGUUUAAUGGGAAAUCAAGAGUGGAUUCGUCAUCUUUCGGAAGAUUGUCUACAAUAUUUAGCAAUGCCAUGUUAGUUUUCAUUGACGUUUUAUAUUUAAUUAUGUAAUGGAUCAAGUACCUGUAAGAUGUGGUUGCAGAAUCUAAUUUCUUCGUGGUUUAGUGUCAAUUGUGUCAUGGAUGAAAGUUUCACAUGUGCACCUUUCUUUUUCCUAGUGCUACUGCUGCCCGUUCCUUCAUCCUUGAUUUGUUUCGCCAAUACUUUUUAUUUGAUUGUUGUUUAGGUAGUGCGGUCCAAUCGUAUUUAGAUAUCCUGUGUUGGAUUUCAUCAUAUUAAUCUUAGUAACACCAAUAAGUGAUGUUGUUUUAUACAUCAACAUGCCAUUUUGGUGGGCCGCUAUGAACCACACACUGCCCCCCUACUUAGUUGUUUUAUACAUCAACAUGCCAUUUUGGGCUGCUAUGACACCCCCUGGCGAGUCGUAUUUUGCUUGCUUUGAUAUUAAUCACUUCUACUUCUCAUGGUGGUACUAUAUCAUUAUUUCUUAAAUUCUGUUUCUGCUGUUGAUUCAAGUGUUCACGAAUUUUCGAUGCAGCCUCAGUCUUAGUUGUUAUUGCAAACAGAUUUUCAAAACAAAUGCUUGACGUUAGAUUUCAUUGCUGGAGGUGUUGGAAUUCAAAUCAGUCAGUAAUAUAAGGAAAGCUUCAGAUAUGUGAAACAAAGCUAUUAUUUUGCUUUCUUUUCUUAUCUGAAUUAUACAUGAUUGUUAUACGCGAGAGACAGAUACGGAGAAAAGAAAAGAGGAGUUUGAUUGAAGAAAAAAGAAAAGAGAAAGGGAAAAAAGGGAAAGGGAAAGAAACUGUUGAAAUGAGACCAUUUUUUCUAUGGUUUAUUAUUAAGUAAAACUAGGGAGAUUGGAGGACCAAUAAGCGUAAAUGUUGCUGAUGAAUCAAUUUUUAUAUGUUGCUUUUAAUAAUAGGUUUAGCUUUUUAAACUUAAACCAUGAAGCUUGGUAAAACACUAAUUUUGAAAAGCUGAACUGUUCACUAGAUAGUAGAUAUUCCAGGAUAGAGUCUGAUGCAGAUGAAUCAUUGCUUAUCUUGUAAACCUCUAUUUUUUUUUUUUUUUUUUUUUUUUUGUUCUCUUUUCUCUCCUUUGAUUGCUAAACUAUAGUGUGAUUCCCUUUUCUAUGUAUCUAUCCAUCUCUGUUAUUCUCACAUUUUAAUUAACAAAUCAAAUGUACAAAUCUGUCAAUUUGUCAUUCAUCAACAGGUGAUGUUCUGAUUCUCGAAUCUUCUUUCUUUAGCAACACAUCUUGGAUGUAGAUGCUUAAAAAGAUGCUCAAUUAAACGGAUAAAAUAUCGGCAAAAGUCACAAAUUUGACCCAAAAAGAGAGAGGAACUAGUCAAGUGCGUGUUAUUGCUCGUGUGUGGUGUCACUAAAAAGAAAAGGCUAAUGUGAUUAUAGUUUCCGGAUCGCAGAAACCCCCUCCGACCUGUGAUCGGGAUCGCACAUACCAAUUUGUGUUGGGUUCUCGAUUCAGAAUACAAAAAAAUGGCGAAUUGGAAUCAUAGAGAAGCACCUCAAUUUUCUAAAUCUAAAUCAUAUUUCAGAAUAACGUUCCGACUAUUCCAUUCCAAGCAACAUUAAAUGUGAUUAUCUGGAAGGAGACUUGAAACCUACUAAAGAAACACCUAUCAACAACCUCCCUGAGUUAACCUCAUCAUAACAUGUUUUCUUUUCUCUUAAGCUAAUCUCAACAUUGGUGUUGUCGACUCUUUUCCUUCCUUUUCUUUUUACGAUUCUUUUAUAGUAAAUUGCACUACAAGCCCCUUAAACUUUUGCUUUUCGGUUUUUGAUUUUGAAAUCAUGAGCUUUUAAUAUUUUAGUGCUGAACUUUUUAAAAUUAUUUCUUCUUAGUCCGCACAUUAGAAUAAAAACUAUUUUCUGCACGUAGUUCAUCUGACACGGUGGACACCGGAAUUGUCGAUAAAUGUAUAAGUGUAGAUAAUAAUUUAUCGAGUAAGUAACGGUAAACACACAAAAGGACUAAAACAAAACUCUCAUUAGAAGAGUGAGCUAGGGCCUCAAACUUUUGAGCAUAAACUUAGCAGAAAGAAGUUCAGGGACUUAGCAGUACAAUCCAACCCAUUUUUGGUAGAUUGCUGUCCUGCUGAAUGAAGAAGUCAGAAGCACUUUGAGAUGCCACAGCUUUCCUACCAUCCCUUCUGCACACUCUCAUUUCACUAUCAACUAGGGAAGAGUGGAGUGGGGUUUGUAGCCCAUAUCAUAUCUUAUCUUUGUCCAUUGAUUCCUCUUUCCCAUAAUAGUGAAUGGAGUGUGCAGCAAAAAGGGGGUGCUUUCAUAAACAGAGCCCAGGCAAAAUCAUGCUCCUUAAGCUAACACCCACUUUUGAGUGCUGGGCCAUGUAAGGUACUUAGCUAGCAAACCUUCUCAGUGGGACAUGACAUAAUUAGGAUUGAAUAGUAAGUCUCAAGUGAGAAAUUUUCUUUUUCUUUUUAAAGGAUGCAUUUGGAUUCACAAAUCUCUCGAUCCAACGUAACUCAAGUACAGUGAUGUUUGAGUUUUUCUGAAGUGUGAUUAUUUUUUUACUGUUUGGUUUGAUGUGACUUGCACAACCUGAAAGUUGAAUUCAAUCACUUUUUCUGUUUGUUUUGCUGUAACUUGAUACUGGUGAAAUUAGUUUUUUGAGUUUUAUUAUUUAUUUUGAUAUAAGUAAGUGGAUCCUAUUACCUCCUAAGUAUAAUGGUAAACUUAUCCAUAUAAAAUCAAACCUAUUAAAUAAUUAAAUUUCUCAUUAUUGUUUAAAAGUAAUCUUAAAUCCAUUGCAAAGAAAAGUAACUCUAACCCAUUCUAAAGAAAGUAGAGUUUAAGUUUUAAUAUUUAAUAAUUUUUUUAGAGAAAGAUGAGUAUGGUGGAACUUGAGUUCGAUACUUUAGAGGGAGAACUUAAGAGUAGAUAAAGUAGAGGUUGUAGCUUGCGUUAUAUUAUAUUUUUCAACUUACAAUAAAACAAAUAUUAGAAAUGAUGGAACUUGAAUUGCACCCCUUCACUUACACCAAAACAAACAGCUCCUUACCGCUUGGAUUGGGGAUAAGGGGUGGAAUAACCCCUUAUUCCCUCUUUAUACCCAAAUGCUAAUUUUUUAUCCGAAAAUAAUAGUCUCGGGUACCUGAAAUAAACUGGUAUAACUAUUCUCACCAACACCUUCAUUUUCUAUAUAUAACUACUCACUAUUUUUCUUAUUCCAUAUUAUCUAUCCAAACGUUAUUUUUCUUAUUUCCGGAAACAAUCCCAAUUUUCAUCCAAACGCUAUUUUUCUUAUCCCCAUAUUUAUACCUAUCCCUGUAAUAGCUACUUCUUGCAGGAAGAGAGGACCAGCCAUAGAAAAAAUUAGAAGCCAAUACGAUUUAAUGAUUUUCUACUUUCCUGGUUGAUCUUCUUGUUUCUUACAGAUUAAAAGAGGAAAGCAUAAUUUCUAUGACACUUAACAAAAUAUAGUGGGAGAAUAAAUAAAAAAUUCCUAGGUAUAUAUGAUCAAAAUGACAAGUUGGAUUUUCUUUUUCACAUGAAAAAAAAAAGAAAAAAAAAAACCUGCAGCUAUUAUUUGUUGUCCAUAAUUGCUUGCAUGCCUGCCGUGUUCUGAGAAAACUUGUUGUCCAUUAAUUCUCAGAAGCCAUUCAGUGGAAUUAAUUAUAUUUUUUUGUCUGUUGCAGGAAUAUGUUCAAAGUUUCCAUAAAAAAUAUGACCAAAGUGCUUAGUUUCUAUGCAUGUAACUAAAAUACAAAUGUUGAUGCAAUCCAAAUACUAUGAUGAGACCUAGAGAUCUUAAUCUUUCCUUUGGAUUCAUUCAAUUCUGUGAGCUCAACUUCAAUAGAAGUUUUUUGGAUGAUAACUAUAAUGAGUUCUUUAAUUAUAAUUAUAUCCCUAAAAUGCUUGUGAGUGAGGAUUCCAAUGGCAUGCUUUAAAUGCAUGCAUGCUUUGGAUUUUACUGAUUAAUGCUAUACCCAUUUCCAUUGUUUGUAUCACUUUUGUAAUUGUUAUUAGAGAAUUAACAAAAAAAAUGUCACAUCAGUGUAUGUGAAAUGUUAUUAAAAAGAUUGCAUAUGAGCAAAGCAUUUUUCUAUACGUCUAAAUCUGACGCGAGAAAUAAAUGAUAUACUCGUAUUCUUGUAUAGUAUUCUCCUCUAGAUUUCGAAGAAUAGUUUGCUUUUGAGCGCUAGAUUUACUCUACUCAGAAGCUCUAGAUUCAUCAUUUGCGACACUGAACUUUACGAAACUAGGCCAAACAAGCACUUAAUAAGUCGAACGCACACACAUGCGUGACGUUUCGCUUUGCACCAGUAAAGGAAAGGUUCGAAAGAAUAAAAGUAGAUGCGUUGUGCCUAUCUAUAAGAGGUUUCGACUUCGACCCCACAUACAAAAGAAAAAAAGAAAAAUGUAGAAAAGAGAGGAAGAGGAGCAGAACCUCCUUGGAAGCAAAGGGUAAGAGCUUAGCGUGCAAAUAAAAACAGUUUUUUUUCACGCUAAAGCUGAUUAUUUUUUGCACAUUUUUUAUUUUUGCUGAUCGCAGUUAUUCGCGAAUGAAGCAUUAAAUGCAGAUGAUUACGCGCGAAGAACAAGUGUUAAUCGUUAGCUUCGUCGAAAGCUAAGGUACUCGACUAUAAAACUGUAUCUUUUCAUUGUUAAUGCCUAUUCUUAAGUUCAUGCUCUUAUUACUCAUUUUCACUUUGUUUUCUAAACAUGCAACUUAAUUACAUUCUAGUUGAUUAAAUUUGUGAGAUGAAUUAAUGCGCAGUAAUUGAAUAUUUUGUUAUCCAAAUUAAGCGAACUAUUCGUUUACCAAUGUUUUUUUUUUCGAUUUUUUCGCUUUCUAUUCUACAUAAACAAGCAAGAUAUAUAUUCUACUGUUUUGCGGUGCUUUAAUUAGAGAGAUAAUCCAAAAAAUUAACUAAUAAGCAGGAAUUAAUAAGUUUUGUUUAUGCUCCAUCAUCCAUGGUAGUUAUAAUAAUAAGUUUUGAUUUUGAUAAAAAUUUCUUUUCAAAAGUGAUUAGGAAACAAAUAGGUUACAGUUAAUUUAAUUUGGACCAAAUGGAAUAAAGCUUAAUAAUUGCUUCGCACUUUAUUAAUUCAAUUUAUCUUAUACUGUUAAUUAUCUAGGCCAUUAGUUGUAAAAUGUAACAAUAUGUUUCCUUUUUUUUUUUUUUUUUUGAAGUUUUCCCAAAUUUUAAAGCAUAAUGUUUAAAUUGAUACGUAAUCAUUAUAAAAUACCAAGUAAUGAGAAAUUUGUAGUUAAAUAUGUAUAUAUUUAUAUUCUAUUUCAUUAUUAUCAUAUUUUGUGGGGCUAUUGAAUUAGAUCAAAUUGGCUUUUCAGAGAGUACAUAAAACUAGUAGCUAGGUAUUGCCUCCUUGUUACGUUUACUGUCCCUAUCCAACCAAAUUUAUAUUCGCAAACGCUAACUCGGUCCACGAAUCAAUUCCCAUUUCUUGGAUUUCAUUUUUGGGCUAAUCAAAUUCAAAUCUACUUAAACUAUGCUUCAUCUGUUGAAAAUAAAUAUUUGAAAAAUCGAUAGUUUUUUUUUUUUUUGCUACCUGUUUUGUUUUGUUUUUUUUUAAAAUAAACUUAGUUAGAAAUGUAAAUCAAAUAGACUUCGGCUUUUUUGGAAUUGCGGGGAGAUUGCGUUACGUGCAGUGAGGAAGUGCGAUGAAAAAAUAUUCUAUUUGUUUCCGUACGUAUGUUUCGCAUAUCGCGAUUAAUCGGUAUUAACUAUCAAGUCCUUUGUUAUAUGCACUAAAAAACGGUUGAUUUUUUGAGAAUAAUAAUUAUUUUACAUAAUUUAAUAAGAAUCACAACAAGAUAUACUGAGUUCGUAUCUUAAUUACCAUACUUUUUAGUCUUAUUUAACUAUCCAGCUCUUUUAGCUGCCGCUGAACGCUGAAACCCUAAUUUGAUCCAUGUCGAACUUGAUAAAAAUCGAGUCGGAUUAGCCUGAUCGAGUUUCGUAUUAGAUUUAAUCCACCCUUAAUUACAUUCUGUCGAACAAGCCACCUAAUUUAUGAAUUGAUUACUGGACCUGACUUUAAGUCGACUCAUCGACAUCAAUCGAGCCAAUCGGAUCAAUUUGGGGUCGAAUUAAGUGGAUUAGGCUCGAAUUUGUUCCACUUCAGAGUUUGCGCCUAUUGCAUGUUAGUUUGCUUGUGUUCGGGUCGUUUAAUUAAUUCAACCCAGAAUUGUUCCACUUCAGUUCUAAACGAUCCGAACACGGGCUAGAUACGAGAUUAAGCUUGAAAAUAAACUUGAGCUGCUCAUGAGUGGCUCCUACUAGUUCGUCGUAGGAAAGAGGUUUCACGACAUUUAUUUAUAUGAUCAUACUUCUUAAUCUCAUGAGAAUAUUUUUGUACUGAAUAAGUUCUUAAUAGAAAUCUUAUUCUGACGUAUUGUGCUAAAUGAACCAAUCGAUUAAAACUAAACAAAUCCUAUAGUUUCAUUAGAGAACGUCCCACUCUUGCAGCAGUCGGACUUGCAUUCUGUGCGAUACGGUGUGCAGAAAAGUUUCGUGCAUACCUAUCCAUCAGUACUGAGAUGCAUCUAAGCUGGCAAUAUCGGAUAGCUCGAAUAUAUUCUGCCGCUGACUAUAAUAAAGUUAUUAAAUUAGGUUGAUUGUUUCUGCACAGAUCCAAAAAUAUUUAAAAAGAAAAAUUGGGUUUUAGCUAGCUAGGUGGUCCUGUUAAUUCGGCCUAGCCGUGUAAUGCAUGCAUGUGCAAUUGAUCUAAUGGGUCCCCUUAGAAUGGAGUUGCUCUCUACAGGGCUUGGUGCUUAGGGCCCCUUCGGUAUCGAGAUCCAUCUACUGUUAAUAGAUAAAAUUAAUUAAGUUGGGACGAAGCAGAUAGAGAAAUGCUUUUGCGUUUUUUUAUAGAAACUACAGAAAAUAUAUUAUAAUCGACUUACUAUUAUAUACGAAAAUAAAUAUGAUAUUUUUUUUUAUAACGCAAUUUUUCUACAGUCCUAAACAGAGCCUUAAGCUCUUGUUACGUUAGUAAACUUUUCCUUUUCAUAGGAUUUGUUUAUAUGCAAGAGAAUUGUGGUCCUAAAUUAAUUAGGUUUUAAAUAGGUGGUUCAAUUUGAUUAAUGACGUAUUAACCGCCGCAUAUAUGUGUCGUGCCGCCUUUUCUUUUCCUAAUUUGGAAAUGGGGUUUGAUGCAAUUUUAGGAUACUUAAAAAAAUAUUAAGCACUUCAAUAUUUUCCUUUUUGACACUAUAAAAUGGUUGUAUACAUGACCUGAAUGUUAGAAAUAUACUGUACUGAAAAUUCGAUCGUGAUUAAAAUCUAAUUAAUUUUGUGAUAAAGAUAAAGACGAAUGUAUAGAUAAACGCAAUUAUCCAAAUAAAAACGUGACCUUAACGGGAAGCAAAUUAGAUUGUAUUGGAAUAAAAUGAAAUGACGAAUCAUCCAAAGAUUUUUAUUUUGUUAUUAGUAUGAAAACUGGAAUGGACAGUUACGAUUUUGAGAGAGGGUUUUGGUUGAGAGAGGAGAGUGAUGAAGAGAGAGAAGAGAGAGGCGUUUGUGAGAUAGGAUUUUGAGUUGUUUACUUUAGAAUGAGCCCGUCGAAGAUUCAAAGCAAGAUUGGAUCAUCCCAUUCCAAUCCCAUUCCAGGGUGAAAUAAGAAUUAGAAUUUGAUUCCUUUAAAACAAAUAACAACUAUUAUAAUUAAUGAAUCCAAGAACUCAUGGCUCAGUUUGAACCUCUGAACUUUAGGAUAGUCCUAUGGAUAACAACCAACUGCAUUGAGUAAGGAUGAGAGAGAGAGAGAUAGUGGUUUGAUAGUUAAGUUCCUUCUAUUUAUGAAAAGUAAGGAUUUUUAUUAUGGUAGCGCAAACAAGUGUUUAGGCAUCCAAUGUUACUUUUUUUUUGAGAAAAAUAGCAUAUUACAGCUUCAUUUAAUUAGAAAAUAAACUGAACUAUAGAUUAAGGCAACCUGGGCCUCGAAAAAAAAGGAAAAAGAAAAAAGGACAAAGGAAAAGAAGAUUACAUGCAAAAACGUUCCCAUGAAUCAAACCAAGAAUAAUUAAGAUAAAUCUGAUUAAAGUAGAAGAAGACAUUUCUCACUAGUUUACUGUUUUGUUGUUGUUGCUGUUGUUGUUGUUGUUGUUGUUAACUUGUUAUGCAUCAUCUUCUUUAAUGCUUAAUGUGCCUACUCUACCUUUUCGACUUGUCAUUUAUCAUCUAACUAAUUACUUGCACUUAAUUUUAAGUCCAAUUGAAACAGGAAUUUGGUUGGUCUUUCUAAAUUUCUUACUUACUAUUAAUUGGGGCCUUUUUAAAGGAUCUCUUGGUAUCCUAUUAAGUUAAUUUUCUUUAGAUAUUUGGAACCAAUUUGUGUUAAAAAUAGAUGAAAUGAAGCAUGCGUAGAACCUAAGAAAAGAACACAAUAAAUCAAAGGGACAAAGAUAUAUAUCUAGGUAGGUAUAUAUCCCUAGUAGAAUGUUCCCUUGUACGUUCCCUUCUUAUUAAGGUUACAGCAUGAAAGUGCAUUCCCAACUAAUUAUAUAAUAAAUCAUUAUUGUUCAUGUAAUGCUUCUUCUAGUCUAGGAUAUUAAUUACUACCUAUAGUACGUGUGUGUGGCUCUUAGCUAGGGAGAAAUUAUUACUAGAUGUGUGCAACUACAUUAUCAUGAAUCACACCAACUAAAUUAAAUGCAAUAUAUAUACCUCUCAAAUUGUACGCAUACGUAGAAUUAGAAAGUUUUUUAUUUAUUGACUAGAUCAAUGUGGAACCUGUGUUCAGUCUAGUUUAUGCAUAUCAAUCUCGUAAAUCAUAUGGAUGUUAUGAUUUUAUGUGCACAUAACUGUGCGUGGACAUGGCAAAAUUUUUUAGGAUCUAUAUAUUUUUCUCUCUAUUUUUUUGCUUGAUCUAUGCAACGAUCAAAAAAACUUAUUUUUCUAGUCUAAUUCUAUGAAAUAACUGAUUAUUUUGAAAGUUUAAACUAUUGAAGAAUAAUACUUCUAAUAUUUUAUACUUAAUAUUAAUUCUCCUUCACAUCAGGGUUAAUCGCGAUUUGAGAUUUUCUUUGUAAUAGGCCCAAGAAGCAGAUUUAAAAAAUGAGUGAAAGUAUACAGGAUUAAAGAGUUCUACAAUAUUCAAAUUUAAAAUUUUUUUAUUCUGAUAUGAGGUGAAAAAAUGUUAAAUUAUGCGAAACAAUUGUUGCUUUCCAAAAGUUUAAACUAUUGGAGACGUUUUUAAUGUCUAUAUUCAACACUUACAUCUACGCUUAAAACUUCUUGAUGCUUUAAGAGGUAGACUUGAAUUAAAUGGAAAUACCAUAUCAAAUUAUAGGAUCAAGAAGUGGCUUGAACUAAAAUGGGAAUGUCAUGUCAAAUUAUAUGGUAUAAUUAUUGUUCUUUAAAAGCUUAAACUAGUAGAGAACAGUAUUUUUAAUGUUAUAUUUAACACUUUUAUUCUUGUCGUGACUCAAGACAUUUUAAUAAACUCAAGACAUGAACUUAAAUUAAACGGGAGGAAAAUAAAUAAUGCUAAGAACUUGGUAAGAUUCGAAGUGUUUUUAAUAUUUAUAUUUAACUCUUUCACUCGUGGCCGGACUUGAGACAUUUUGAUAGGCCUAUGACAUGAACUUUAAUUAAAUUGAAGAAAAUUAAAUAAUGUUAAGAACCUAGCAAGAUUUGAAGUGUUUUUAAUAUUUAUAUUUAACAUUCUCCCUCACAUCUGAACUCGAAAUAUUUUAAUAAACCCAAGACAAUGACUUGAAUUAAAUGAGAGGAAAAUAAAUAGAGGACUUGAACUAAUGAGAGGAAAAUAAAUAAUGCUAAGAACCUUGCAAGAUUCUAACUUAUGACGUUUAGCUCUGAUAAUAUGUUAAAUUAUAUAAAAGACCAUUUUUCUCCGAAAGCUUAUACUGCCAAAAAAUGAUAUUUUUAAUAUCUAUAUUUAUGCACAACAAUUGUUAUUUUUCAAAAUAUUAAGCUAUUAGAGAAUAAUAUUUUAAUAUUUAUAUCUAACACUCUUCCUAAAUGUUGACUUGAAUUAAAUGAAAAAAAAAAUUAUGUUAGGGGCUUGGCGGGACGCAAAGUCAAAAUCUCCUCUGAAAGAAUAAGUUGUCAGAGAACAUUAUUUUUAAUAAUUAUAUUUAACAAAAGAUCUAUUACUUUAAAAUCUUAAGUUACUAGAGAAUGAUAUUUUUAAUAUUUAAUAUCCAACAAGUCAGUUUUACCAUGCCUUAAAAAAAUGAUGAUGAUUUUCCUCCUGAAGCCAAUUGUGUAUGUUAAUCCUAGUCUCAAUCAACAAACUCCAACUAUAUAUAUAUAAUGCAUCACUUUAACCUACCCCUUAGUUAAAAUGCCACUAUCACAAUUAAUUGAGCUCCUAUAUUAAUGAUCAUUCUUAUUUAUGAAAUGAUUUUGAUGAAAAUCUACUUAACUUCCUGAAGAAAUUUCAAGCAACAUUAAGUGGGUGAAUUAAGAUGGUAAUUAAGCAACCUAUAUUGAAAUUGAAAUGCAGUUAAUCUCCUCUCUCUUUAUUCUCUUUUGCUAGCUUAGAAAGGAAGCAACAAAACUACUUGAAAAUAUUUAAUUAGGUGGCUUAAUUUGUGUGAUUAAGAUUUGUGAACAAAAACUCUAUUUGCAGAUCACUUGAGCAUGCAGAGUACUGAGGUAUCAACCACAAAGAGAGGAAAUUAUGGGAAAUAAAUUAAAUGCAAAUACUUAUUAACUUUAAUGCUCACAUAAAUUAGUUUCUUCAAUAAGAGAAAUGUUAUCUAUGAUUGAAUCCUUAACCUGGACCAUUAAUUAAUUUCAUGCACGUACUAUCUCUCACUUAAAUUUCUCUACCAGACACUUUGACUUAAAUGCUUCAUAUGUACAUGAGAAAAUGACCAAAGAAAUGGAGCAAAUUUGCAUGAUAGUAACAAAAAAUAAAAAGAAGAAUAAAAUGGUGCAAAAUUAAUUGUUCUUCACAAGAAUUGAAAUAAAACAACAAAAAUAUGUAUGCUAUAAAAUAGAAGAUAUACAUAAAUAGACGAAAAUGUAUGAACAAAUUCAAAUAUUGAACUUGAAACCUCUCAAAGUGGAAAACGCUUAUGACCGUCUCUGAUACCAUACUAUCAAAAAAUCAAUAUAGUAAACAACAAUUCAGGAUUAAUUAGUUUGUAGUUUCCAAAAAGAAAAAUGAAAAAGGAUAUGACAAACAAAAUAGAAAAACAAUUUAAUUCAAGGAUCCAACUCUUACUGUUAUAUAUAGAAAUUAAAAAGCUAUUGAAGAUAUUUAAUUUUUUUGGAAAAAAACUGUUAAUGCCUCAACUUAAUGGAUUUGUAACUAUCCAAGACUAUAUAUAGGGCAAUAGAAAAAUUAAAUUGGCCCACUUAAGUGCAUUUUCACUUAGAUCUCUUGUCCUAAAUUCGAUUAAUUAUAUAAUAACUUGAACUUAAUUAACUAAGCAAUGGAUUAAUAAAUUAAACUCUUCAAUAUCGUGUUUUCUAAGGAUUGGAGUGUAGAUCACCUUCUAGCAAAGCUUACCCCCAUCAACUUAACUCAAGGUGGUGGCAUAAUUGCAUAAAUGGACCACGGUUAUACGUGACAUUAUUAAUAGAAAGAGACAACAGUGAUAUGUGAAUUAUUAACGGAAAUAAUUAAUUUUGAUGUUAAUAUAUGAAUUUCUUGAAUCCAGUCGCUGUUUAUUUAACAAAUUUCAUGUAUUAAUGUCAAUGAGUCACUCUUAUUGCUUAGAGAGGUCAAAAUCUUGUAUUGUAGCGGUAGGUCAGGUUAGGUCAAAUUGUGUUUAAAAUAAUAUUGAGUUACGAUCGAGAUCAGUAGGUGUUAUUCUUGUACACUUUUAAUGAAUUAAUUAUAUAAUUCUAAUAGCUCGACGUUUUAGAAUUAACCCUAUAAAUAAUAUCAUUUUUGUUAUAAAAUUGUUUAUUUUAUUUUUUCUUUUUAAACAAGAAGUUGGUUCGGUAUCUCUAGUACAAAAAUAAGGCAUUUAUCAGUAAACUGAUAAUAUAUUAUACUAUUUGACCAUAAUCUAAGAAUAGGAGUAAAACUGAUUUCACCAUAAUCUAAGAAUAGGAGUAAGAUUAGCUUUGGUUCUUUAUCUAAGACUUAAUUUGGCAGUCCCUCCACGUUGUUUUCUCCAUGUCCUUUUAUUAAUUAAUUAAUUAAUAUUAUAUUACUGUUUCCUCAAAUUUGUAUAUUAAAUUUUUUCUAAAAAUCAUUUUCUCCUCAACUUUGUACUGUUUCUCUCUCUCUCUCGCUCUCUCUUCCCUCUCCAGCAACGGUAUUAUGAGUAGCCGUCUCCCUAGACCGGUUGUACGCACGUCAUCAUCCGGUUUUUAUGCUGCGCCGGACGACGUGUCGCGGAUUGAUUAGUCGGGUCUACUGGACCAGGUACGAGAAUUACAUUGACCGGCCUCUAACAUGGCCUAUUCCUUCGCCAUCACCCUUCUCUUUGUUAACACAUAAAUCCCAAAAUAUAGUAAUAAGUGUUUGUAGACCAAAUCCCAAUUCCGAAUCUCUCCUCCUGUGUAUGUAAAGUAAAACACACUCGCUAGUCGCUCACUCACGCGCCCCAAAAACCAAUAUCGUAUUUUAGCAAAUUAACUCGUCUAGAUACUACAAAAAUAUCCCACUAAUUCAACCCAAAAAUAAGGGAACAACACUCUCUAAACAUAAACAUAUUAUACACUCUCUCUAUCUCCUCACUCCUCAAGUUUCUCUACUUCCUCAAACAACAGCAGUAGUAGAAGAAGCGACCCUAAGCGAAGGGAGAAAGAGGAAGCGCUUCCGGUGAGAUUACCGCCCCCAUCUUUUGAAACGUAUUUGGGAACGAGAAGACGAUAAUAUAGCUCGAGCUCGAGAUCGAGAUCUCGCCACCGACAAUGGUGGCCGCCGCCGCCGGGGUGAAUCCGCAGCGCCCACCGCUGAUCCCGUCGGAGAAGGACAAUGCCGGCGCCGCCGCGCUCCCAAACGCGCGGCGCCGCAGCGCUAAGGAGGUCACCUCCCGCUACCUCUCCUCCUCCUCCUCCUCGUCCUCUUUGACCUCCACCUCCACCUCCACCUCGACCUCGUACUCUUCUUCUUCUUCUUCGACCUUUACCACCACCUCGACCUCGCGGCGCUUCCCCUCCCCGCUCGCCGCCGCGCGGCCCUCGACCCCCUCGCCCGGAGCCUCGACUGCUCCCUCGACCGGAAAGACUCCAUCUUGGCCACCGUCCACCUGCUGCAGCGCUCCAUGGUGCUCGACGACCCCACCCGGCGCGCCUCCUUCGACGCCGCCGAGCUCUCCGCUUCCUCCGAUACGGAGAGCGUCUCCUCCGGGAGCAAUUCGGACCUCGCCACACCCGCUCGAUCGAAAGCCCCGCCCCGGGGGAUCAUCGUCCCCGCGCGGUUCUGGCAGGAGACGAACAGCCGCCUCCGCCGCUUGCCCGAGCCCGGAACGCCUCUGCCCACGAAACCAGGGCUUGCUUCGCCGCCCGGUAACCGCAUGCCUUCUCCGGCGAGAGGGAUGACCAGCCCUUUGAGGGCGCGGGGCGGCUCCGUUCCAGUUAUUCAGCUGGCGAAUGCGCCUUCUAUAAUAAGCUUCGCGGUGGAAGUGAGGAGGGCGAAGAGAGGGGAGAACCGGAUAGAGGAGGCGCACGCGUUGCGGCUACUGGAUAAUCGGCAUUUGCAGUGGCGGUACGCGAACGCGAGGGCCGAUGCCGUGCUUCUGGCGCAGAGAUUGGCCACAGAGGUAACUGAUUGCUAAUAAUGCUAUUGCUGUUGGUGUAUUUCAAAUUCAGAUGUUCACAGAAAUUGCUUAGUUCAACAUAUAAUUUGACUUAUUUCGUUUGCACCUUUGAUUUGUAGAGGAAACAUCAUACUUGCUUCCCAUUUCGUAAUUCUUUUACUCGGGUUUAUAAAACCAUAAUUUGUUAGUGCAUCGCCUGAUCUUCGGUAUGUCUCUUGAUUCGAUGAUCAUGCAAAUUUGGAAUUGUAGCAACUUGUUAUAUUUGGCUUUGUCGUAAUUCGUUAUCUUUCAUAUUGCUUAAUGAAACUUAGAAGGUAUCCUGCAAUAAGAUAACGAUUGCUAACUUGCUUAAUAAUUGCAUGCUGCAUCUGGAUAUCCUGUGUCAUUUUCUUGUUAGCGGCUACUUAAAUCUGUAACGGCAGCGACCAUCAUAUGCUCAUUAAUUUCUUCGUUUAGAAGUGCCAUUAUGAUUAAAUUUGGGUUCAACUAGGAGUGGCAUGCAAGUCUUAAGCUCUGGCCACCUUCAAUGUUGACGAAGUAAUCAAACAAUUUUGUGAAGUAGGAAACCAAAAAAUUGUCAAAACAGAGAACCGUGCAUGCAAAGCUUACAGUUGCUAAAACAAGUAUCACAACACUGCUCCAAUCUUGCCAGGGUUCUUCUGGGUCUCUCUCUCUCUCUCUCUCUCUCUCUCUCUCUCUCUCUCUCUCUCUCGUUCGCUUGCGUGCGCAUGCGUAUUGGGCUUGUGGGAGGAUCUUAUUGUCAUUUUCUGUAUCAAGAUUUUUUGGUCAUUUUUAUCUGAGAUGUGUAGCACUAAGUGCUCUAACCUGCAUUUGUUGAUUAGUCUAUUAACACUGGUCACUUUGAAGAUAGCUUGUGCUUGUACACAAUUUUAGGGUUGUUUGAAAACCCAGGUGCUAAUAUUCUUUCAUACACGCCAUAUAUUUCUAAGAUUUAUCUUUGAGCACUCUGGUGGAUGGCUCUUUGUUUAGCUAUUAUUUUUGGUAGUGAUUUGCAUCCACACUUGAGAAAAUUGAUUGUUUUUCUUUAUUUUGUCUCAGAAAUAUGCUUAUGAUCUUAUCUACUGAUACUUGUUUUAUUGUUGUCAGAAAAAUUUGUAUAAUGCGCGGAUAAGUAUCUCAGAAUUGCGUAACUCUAUCACUGCCAAGCGUAUUAAGCUCCAACAUCUGAGACAAUGUAUUAAACUAAGUACAGUUCUCAAAGGACAAGUAAGUUCUCUCGUCGUUUCUUUAUUUACCAGUUAUAUCUACAGUUACUCCAUUUCACCAUUUCUUAGUAAUUUUGCUCUGGAGUACAACAAUGAUAUUGGACAAAUAGCUAAAUAUGUAUAAGGUUUCAGAAUUCCAGUAAAUGCUUUCUUAUUUACCUAGAUAGCAAAACACAUUAAGAAAAUAAUUUGCGAAGGCCUAAGUUAUAGUGAUAAAUACAAACUGUUCAGGGCUAGAAAGAUUAAGGAUGAAUUGGGGAACCAGUCAUAUCUACUAUUGUAGAUACUCUGAGCUACAUACAGACUGUCAUGAUAAUGCUCAUUUAUCGCUUAAAAAAGAUAAGAUAAGAUCAAGCCCUGCAGUGCCGUGAUUCAUACCCACGCUACAAUGGCAUGUUGGUUGUGCUACUGACAUGCUACCCUUGUGUCAGACAUGCCCUGGCAUGGGAUAUUUGUUCAGAACAUUUAAGCUAAAAGCUCCAUGUCACAGAAUAUGAUGGAUGUUCAAUUAUAAUUCUAAGAGUUUCAAAAGUAUUAAUUGAUAGAAUUUCUCACUACUCCUGGGUGAAGUUCCUUGAAAUUUGAUUGAAUUGAGAAUUGAAAGUAGGGAAAAGUAAUGUUUUCCAAUACUGGGAAAUGUAGGUUGAAAUUUGGAAAAUAUUUCAUGGCAAAAAUAAAUCUGAUUUCAUUAAAUUAUCUUAUGCAAUUAUAAGAAGCAAGCUUACGCACAGUGGCUUGUUCAAAAAGAUUCACAUGAUUUUUUUUCAAUUUUAUCAAAAGAUCUACAUAGAAGGGACUAACAGUUAGCAAAUGGCCUUAUUAAAAUAUUAUCUGAAUAAACUGCUGAAGUUAAGAAACAUUGCUCCUAAGACAUGAAACAAAAGGAGUGCAGAUUGCUUUUCUACGACCUCAUUGCCUCCCUUGUUUCUUGAAGAUGUUUCUUGCAACUUCUUUGAGGUUGGUUAUUGGUAAAUCUGCUCACUUAAUGUGAAAAUUAAAUGUUUCCAUGUGAUUAUUUUACAGAUAAAUUAUCUGGAAGAGUGGUCUCUUCUCGAUAGAGAUCAUUCAAGUUCGUUAUCAGGAGCUAUUGAAGCAUUAAAGGCUAGCACGCUUCGUCUUCCAGUUGUAGGUGGUGCAAAGGUUUGUUCCGAUCUGAUAUUGGUUAGUGGUUUGAACUUACAUAUUUCUGAAGACUAAUAGCCGCAUUCUCUUUGACAGGCAGAUGUCCAAGAUAUGAAAGAAUCUGUCGGGUCAGUAGUUGAUGUAAUGCACACAAUGGGAUCAUCUAUAUACUCUCUACUGUCAAAGGUAGAUCCUUUAUUAUAUUCUCUUACAACAUCUUAUGUAUUAAAAAACUCUCUCUCUCUCUCUCUCAUGUUAGAUUUGAAUUCUUCAGGUAGAAGGAACAAGUUCCUUGGCGUCCGAACUUGCUAAAGUGGCGGCACAAGAAUUAACUCUGUUGGACCAAUUAAGAGAUGUCUUGUCCACUGUGGCAGUCAUGCACGUAAGGCAAUGUAGCCUUCAGGGGCAUUUAUUGCAACUAAAAUAGCGUCGGAGCUAGGCACAGUUGUAAAGCAAAUUCUCUCACCAACUCUGUGAUUACUAACAUCAAAGCGGCCUCUUUGUUUCCUAACUGAAGAUUGCGACAAAAGGUAAUAAAUCAUGGCAGUUUGUUUGCUGCAUCUUGAGAGUACUAGUUCUCCCUGUUUGUUUGCUGCAUCCUUGAGAGUUCUAAUUCUCCCUGUUGAUUUUCACCAAAUGCAGCUAAUUCAUGUAUUUUUGUCUACAUAACAUUAUGAGUGGCUCUUUUUCCUGCAGUGAUUUCAGGAGAUGUAUACAAAUUACUUGUGCUUAUAAAAGAAAAGCUUAUGCAUAUAUAUGUUUAAAUUUAGUGUUUUUUAGUUAAUUUCUUUUUAGAAGAAGAAAAGGUCAUAUAACUCUUUUAUCUCUACUGAAGCACUUCUUGUCUCAUCAAAUGGUUUUAGGAAAAAGGAAAUGAGUAGAGUUCAACCUACACCGAAGUAGGUAAUGAACAACAGGAUACAGCAGUAUCUCUUUACUGUAAGUAUGAUUUAAUUGUAAGUAUGAUUACCUAUAUAACACAGCAACUGGUAGUCGCCACUAGCGUCAAAAAACAGCUAUGACAACUUUGUAGUCUCUGUGUAAUCUUUUUUUUGUUUUUGAGAUCAUUGUUAUUUGCCUUCAUCUUUUGGCUUAUUCCUUACUUCCCCUUCUCCCUUUGCAUUAUUUAAUCUUUGAUGUUCAUGUGAUCUUCUAGGUACUGUUUUAGUGGCACAAAAAAACAUUUAUUAAUUGCAUGUAUAAAUUUUGCUUCAUUAAGAAAUUAUACGAAAUUAUAUUGUAGCUUUUUCUGAGUUUUCUCAGGAUUCUAACUAUUGACAAUUGUUAACUGCAGCUGACAUGAUUUUUUUUUUUUUUUUUUUNCAGAAAAAUUUGGAUCCAAUAUAAAUUGCCAAACACAACUAAGUUAAUGGCAGUAUAUAAUGGAACAAGCGCGAAUCAGUCACUGAUUUGAUAGAGAACUAUAAACCUAUUUUUCUGCCUCAUUGUUUCUUUUAGUAAAGGUAUUAUUUUAAAGGCAACUAAAUAGACUCCUUUGAAGGAACUUUAUUUGUCGUAUUUUCUCUAUCAAAUCAGUGACUGAUUCGCGCUUGUUCCAUUAUAUACUGCCAUUAACUUAGUUGUGUUUGGCAAUUUAUAUUGGAUCCAAAUUUUUCUGGGUGUGAAUUACCUGCUACUGCUGGGUUUUUUCUUAUUAUUUAUUUUUUGCAAAUCAGUCCCUCAAUGAUGCUAUCACUCAUGGGCUCAAUAUUGUUGUAGGAUUGUUUUGCUACCCUUAAUCAGGCUCAAACCCAAGUGAAUCCGAACACAACAUUGGCCCGAAUGAAAAUCGCAGAGACCCGGCCCGUUAUAUAGUGAAAACUUGGAUCUUGGUAAGCCCGAUAGGACUAUCUUUCAUUUUCCCCUUGCCUGCAAUAUAACAGGAGAAAAGUUAAAGGUGCCAAAUUAAUGGCUUUUGUUUAGUUUUAGUAUUAGUAAUUCAUCGGGCCUGAACUGUAUGUAGAUACUAGUCGAUUUUUUUGGACGUUGCAUUUGGUAUCAGAGUCGUAGAUAAUAACGGGGUCGGAGAUAUUUGAUUGCGGGUCCCGUGUUUCAGGGCUUUUUUCUUUUCCAAUUUAAAUCUUCCAAAAAGAAAAAUUUGGUAUCUAGUCUUGUCAAAAUUUUAUUAUGAUAAAUAACUUUCUUUCUUGAUGCAUAAGUGUCAUGACAUAACAGAUUAUGAAAAUUUACAAAGACGGUGAACUAUUUACUAUUUGCAUGCGGUGGUGUCACAUUGCAUUAAAGCCCUAUUUGUAGAUUUGAGAUAUUUGAUAUUUGUGCGUACGUAUUCAACAAUUGCGUUCUGGAUUGAGAAGAGAAUGUAUACUUACGUUGCGUUCUGGAUUGAGAAGAGAAUGUGUUACGUUAUCAUAAAAGAUAUCACGUUGCGUAGAUCAUAAUGAUUUCGUUAAAAUAGUAUUUUGCCAUCCUAUUGAGGAAUAAAUAAGGUUAACUCUCAAUAUUUUUUACUUUAUAUAUGUUCGGUUCUAACUCACGAGCAUUAAUAACUCGCAGGCCUAACCCAAUGGCUCAAAAUGUUCAAGUCCGAUUAUUAAUAUUAGUGUGUUCGUCAUGUAUAAAUUUCUCACAUUCGUUCAUAUUAUCUGAUGUAAAAUUAUCAGAAUGGUACACUUUGAUUUACUUUUUAGCUAAAUAAUAAUAAUAUAUAGCCCUCAAUACGAAACAGGCAAUCUCAUCAAAUCAGCCGCGAAUUUGCGUACAUUUUAGCAUUUGAGAAUCUUCGCGUCCUACUGCUAAUGCUUUUUUUGAGAGAUAGGUAGCACUCUACCCGCUUCGUUUAUUUUAUUUUUGAAAAUAAACUUAGCUGGAAAUGUGAAUCAACUAGAAUUCGAACUUGGGUCUCAGAUACCAACCACCAAGCCCUUUGCCACUUGCUCUAGGGACGGUCGGUCUGCUAAAAUGCUAUUAUGCCAACCAAACUAAUCAAAGGUUUCCAGGUUGGGCUCAGCGUGGCGCGUGGACGCCAUGCACUAGUAAGAUUCUUUUCCCAUGGAGCAAAUAUAUAUGCACCACACAUUUGGGAAUAUCAACACUGGAAUUGUGUUAGUUUACUUCGAAUAUCUGCACAUAAAUAAAUAUAUAUAGCAAAUAAUUAGUUAUUAGGGACAAAAAUCAUAUGAAAAGGGGGUGGGUCAACCAAAUUGCGGUUCAAUGUCCCGUCGUAAUUCUCAUCCACUUGUUUGAUGCCUUCGAUUAGUGGAAAGAAUGUUUGAAAUCUUGACCACACUUUGGCUUUUUCUGCAAGCAGUCGAUAGGUUUACAUGCCAUUUACACGCACUGGAUGUUCUUUUAAUUUUUGGAGCAAAGAAAGAAUUAUUUGUUUUUUUUUUUUUUUUUUUUGAAGUUCUUUUAAUUUUGUGGUUUGUUUGGGAGAACAUUAUAGGCAUAAAACUAAAGUUUCCCACCAUCAAUAACUUAUUAUUAUUAUUAUUAUUAUUAUUAUUUGGGCGGGGAAAGAUACAAUGAACCAAAUAAUAGAAGUGGAUAUUUAUAACUGAGCAGUGCUCUCGUCUCCACUUUGGUGAAACAAACACAUCCAAAAGUAAGUAGCAUGUUAUUAUUGAACAAAAAGGGCUAAAAAAUAUCUUAGGGCAAAAGCAUCUAGAAAUACGCUUUCUCAUUUUUCGAUAAACCUGUAGAAAUUAUAUUUUAUUUGAUGUGUAAAUAUGAUAUUACUUACAAAGGCGAAUAGUCUAUAUUUCUAUCAUCUGUUACCAAAAUCAAAAUCGAAAGAAACUAAAAUUGAACUCGGGAUCCCAGAUAUUAACUUUUGAGACGUCAGGCAACGCUACUAGGUAUAUAUUAUACGGUUUAAUUUGUUGAGCCUGAAUAGUGUAUUAAUGGCAUUUAUCUAAUCAUUUAUAAUAAAUAAAGCUCAUUAAUAAAACAAAGAGCUGGCUCUUUCUAUAUAUCUUGUCAAUCUACAACAAAGAGUGCAUGCAUGAGAUGUAAAAUUUUAAGACAUGCAUUGUAUCCGUCGCUCGUUCGCUCGUUCGUGCAGCUGCGGCGGCGGCGAUUGUAGUUUCUGCGCGCCCCCCUCCUGCGGAGGAGGAAUUCUACACUGUCAUACUUACACCACGUCAUCAAUUAACAAAUCAAUCACAUUCCUUCUUUUCAAACAAAAGUGCAAUAAAAAUACUUUUUUACAAUCAUGAUGGAACGUAUAUUCUUAAAAGAAUUAAUUUGAUUGGUUUGUUACGCCACGUCACUAAUACACCUGUUGCAUUCUAGAAUUUUUCCCUGCGGAGAGUCUAGACUCUCUCUCUCUCUCUCUCUCUCUCUCUCUAUAUAUAUAAUGGGUUUAAUUGCACACAGGUUCCUGUAAAUAUAGUAAAUUAUAAAUAUAUUUCUAUAAAGUUUAACCUUCAUAUAUUAUUUCUAUAAAAGUCUUAAUAUUUUCAAAUAUAUUUCUAUCGUAGAAUUCAUUAGAAAAAUUUAGAUAAUCAUAGAUUAAAUAUUUAAUCCUGAUUAAUUUAUAAGAUAACUUGAUAUUUUUGCUCCUCUUAUAUUAUACUGUUGUGACUUUUGAAAGACAUAUUUGUGACGACAAAAUUGAAAAUAUAAAUAGUUUUUAACGGUUCUCUAACGAUAACAAACCAGAAAAAAAUAUUUGAAAAUAUUAGAAGUUUUGUAGGAAACAAUAUAUGAAAGUUGAAUUUUGUAGAAAUAUGUUUGUAAUUCACUAAGUUUGCAGGGACAUGUAUGUAUUUAACCCUAAUAAUAACCUCUCUGGGACAACUAUGUCCUGGACAAUACAUAUAACGCUUUUUAAAUUCUCUAUUUGACGUGCGUGUCGUAUCCGAAAAGUUUACUAUAUAAAGUUUAUACUAUAUAUCAUCAAUAAUCAAUCAAUUAUAUUUUUUAUUUAAAAAAUUUAAUAAAAAUAAUUUUUUAAUAAUUAUGAGGGGACAUAUGAAUACAAAGGAAACAAUCUUAUUUGUUAAGAUUGCCAUAUCAGCAAUAUAAUUAGUAUAUUCUAGAUAUUUUCGUUAACACCAUAACUUCAAGGCACAAAAGUUACACCAAAGUUCUUGGAGGACUCUUUGCAAUUUAAUACCAAAUAGUUUAAAUAAUACAAUUUUUGUAUAGAGUGUAAUUUAGUCUCAAAUAUUAUAAUUUUAUUUCAAACAGUGUAUUUUUUUCUUUUUUCUCUACAUCUUAGCCUUUCUUAUAGCGACCACGACAAAUGGUGGCCUUCCAAGAUGAAGAAAUUUUUUUAUUUUUUUAUUCUUUUUCGCAUCCAUUUUCGCCAUCGUGCAUCCCUCUCCCGUCCUCUAUCUGCUGUAGCAACUGGCUCCGUCACAACUUCAUCACCAUGAUUUAUGCUAUAUCUGACACUACAACAAAAACGGUCUAUAGCGACACUUUUAAAUGUAGGUACAUGUCAAAAAAGUGCUGCUAGCUAAAAUUACCGACACUUUUAAAAAGUGUUGCUAUAUGUGGGGUCGCUAGGUAUAUAGUGACAGUUAAAGAGUGUCGCUAUAACCUAAAAGAGUGCUACUAAUUUACGAACACUUAUUUAAGCAUUUAGCAACCGCCGAAACUUUAUCUCGUUAGCUGCGGUAGCGGAGGAGGACGACAGGAAAGGCUAUUCGUCUAGAAUUUCAGUGGAUUGAGUGAAGAGAGAAGAAAAUAUGGCAAUUGAUUUUUCUUUUUUUUUUUCUUUUCUGUUUGUAAUCGGGCCAAAUGGACUGGGUGUGGUGGGUUGAGUAGAGUAAUCUUUUAUUUUUGGUUGGAUUGGACUUUAUAUUUAGGCAUUAGCAGAUAUUUUUUUAAGUUUUAGCAUAAAUGGGACACUUACUCAAAAGUGUCCCAAACAUGUGUCCCUAUAACCUAAUUCUGUUGUAGUGUGAGCUCGCGUCGCCGCCGCUGGCAUUGGAAGAGAUGUGGGCGAAGUCGGGGAGAUGCAGUGAAUAAGAAAGAGGAGGAAGAGAAAGCGGAAGGAGAAAAGGAGGAAUGGACGGUGAGAAAAAGGGAGACAAAGAGAGAAAAAAAAAAAGGGACGAGAGGAAGAAAGGAAAAAUAUAAAUUAAAAAAGAAUAAAAAUAUUUUGAUUAGUUUAUUGAAAAAUUAGACUUAAUCUGCAAAAUUCAAAAAAAAAAAAACAUAUUUUUUGCAAAAAUGCAAAAAUGGUGAAUUUUUAAUACAAAUUGGCUAAAAAUAUGGUAAUUAUACAUAAUUUAAAAUAUUAAUGGAAGAAAUUUUUUUCUUAUUUUGAUUGUCUAUUAUUGUGAUUGUCUAUCGGCUUGCAUGCAUUACAUUCUCGCUAAAUAAUAAAUAAUAAUUCAUUUAAAAAUUUGAAAAAACUAUUAUUUUUUAGUUUUUGUUUUUAGUUACUAAAUAUAUUAAAACUUUUGAUGCAAGGAUUGUAAGCAAUUUACUAUCCUUUCUAUACAAUUUCAUGUAAAAAUUCUAUGAAAAAAAUUAAACAAAAGAUAACAACGCCAUACAGGACCUCAUUUUCCAAAAUGAUAUUUUAAAUAUUAAUUCUUUUCAAAUGAAUUGUAAUAUUAUUCUUGUUUAGAUUUUUUAUUAUCUCAUUUGGUACAAUAAAAUUAGUUUAAAAUAUAUCUCAGGUGUUCUAAUGUCACAAAAAAAGAAACUUUUGUCUCUACGACUUGCCUAGCUUGCUCCAAGUAUAGAACGUGGCUUUCGCUCAUUCCAAUCUUAUUUGGAUAUAAAAGUAUAUAUCUUAUUCGGUAUAUUUUUUUGAUUUACUUAACAUACUUUUAAUGUAGGUACGUACCGAGUGUCGUCAACAAUCUGAAGUGGAAUACCAUAUUUAACAUUCUAAGUCCAUAUUUUUCGAAAUGUGAUAAAUUAGUAAACUAUCUAUCACUACAACAGAAUUAGGUUAUAGGAACACAUGUUUGGGACACUUUUGAGUAAGUGUCUCAUUUAUGCUAAAACUUAAAAAAAUAUCUACUUAUGCCUAAAUAUAAAGCCCAAUCCAACCAAAAAUAAAAGAUUACUCUACUCAACCCACCACAUCCAAUCCAUUUGACCCGAUUACAAACAGAAAAGAAAAAAAAAAGAAAAAUUAAUUACCAUCUUUUCUUCUCUCUUCACUCAAUCCAAUGAAAUUCUAGACGAAGAACCUUUACUGUCGUCCUCCUCCGCCACCGCAGCCAACGAGAUAGAGUUUCGGCGGUUACUAAAUGCUUAAAUAAGUGUUGGUAAAUUAGCAGCACUCUUUUAGGUUAUAGCGACACUCUUUAACUGUCACUAUAUACCUAGCGACCCCACAUAUAGCAACACUUUUUAAAAGUGUCAGUAAUUUUAGCUAGCAGCACUUUUUUGACAUGUACCUACAUUUAAAAGUGUCGCUAUAGACCGUUUUUGUUGUAAUGUAUAAUUUAUAACUAUAUAUAUUAUUCCUCAAUAACUAUGCAUGCAUUACAAAACCAAAGAGAUAUAUUAAAAGAAUAAGAUGUUAAUGCAACCAAAAAUAUCUAAAAUAAAAUAUCAUAUUCAGCCUUCAAUUUAUGUUUUCAUAUUGACAUAAAUCAUCUAGUAAAGUUAAUAUUGACUGUUUAGUUCAAAGACUAGUAGUGCAUUUAUUGUCCGUUUGUUUCACCGAAGGUAAUGUUAAUAUUGACGGUAGAACUAUUUAUUUAUAUAGCUGUUAAAAUAAAAUUCUUCUAUUUCUGCUUUUGUUUUUGGCACAAAAUCAAUAACUUCAAAGUUAAAAAUGUAACAAAUAAGUUAAUAUUAUAUUUUUUUUUAUAAUUAAUUUUAUAAUCAAAGAUAAACUAUAUAAUAACAAAAAUAAAUUAAUGACUAUGCAUGACCAAAACCCACUUCAUGCAUGCAUGUUUCAAGGAGGCAGGAGCUAGAGAGGAAGAACCUUCAUUGCUUGUGAAACAGCCAUUUUGUACUUUAAACAUUUAAGCUAUCAAAGAACGGUGCUAAAGUUAUAUAUUUAACAUUCUCCUUCAUGUUUGAACUCAGAUACAUUUUAUAACGUCCAUAAUGUGGACUUAAAUUAGAUAAGAGAAAAUUAAUAAUGAUAAAAGUUUGGCGCAACUCGAACUCAGAACCUCCUACUCUGAUAUUGUAUGAAAUAACCGUUGUACUCUAACAUAACGUUUGGUUAGAGAACUAAAUUUUAAAGAACAACUUUUAUUAUUUUUGAGAACAGAGGAUACUUCGGUACAAGAAAAAAGAAUUAUAAAUUUGUAUUUGGAUGUAUUUGGAGAUAUGCUAGAGGAUUUUUUUUUUUCUUUUUGAGCGAAAGGUGGCAUGCAACCCGUUUCGUUUAUUUCAUUUAGAAAUAAACUUAGCUGGAAAUGUGAAUCAACUAGAUUCGAACAUGGGUCUCGGGUACCAACCACCAUGCCCUUUUGCCACUUGCGCUAGCUAGGGACGGUCAGAGGAUAUUUUUAGUAGCGUUUGGAUAAAAAAUAUAGAACAAUGUCUAAAUAUAUUUUUAAAAAUAAAAUAAUUAAUUUAUAUUAGUAUAUUUUGUAUAAAUUUAUUUAUAAAAUUAUUUCAUAUAGUAAUUUAUAAUAUAAUUUUUAUGUAACAAUAAUUUAAAAUAGUAUAUUUAUUUUAUUGUAUAUAAUAAUUUAUUUUAUAUAAUUUAUUCUACCAUAUAAUGUUAGAACAAAUACCGCAACGAAAAUCUGAUUAUGAUUUAAAUCUAACUAAAUUUUAUUAUGAAAAUAAAUAAAUCAACUUACAGAUAAUUGCUAAAUCUAAAUAAAGAAUUUGAUCGAUCCGGAAGCGUGCGAGGCACUGUUCUAAGGCGUAUUUCCGUCCUUCGUGUGGGAUUAACUGGAAACACCGGCCCAAGAUACGAUCGGAAUUCCUCCUCUUACGAGCACGAACGUGAAAGAGGUUGAUGGAGACUGGAGACUCUUUCAACACCCGAUGACAAAAAAAUCAAAAC